UAAGAAGAAGAAAUGGAUUAUGGCAUGGCAGCCAGUUGCUAGUAAUAGUUAUAUUAUUAUUAGUGAUCAAGUAUGUAACCAUGGCGUGUUAUGUUGAAUAUACUUAUAUUAAAUAACAUCGAGCAAUAUAUAUAUAUAUGGGUUUAUGAGACGUAAGAUUUUGCUUGAUCCUCCGUUUCUUUGGAUGGAUUUAGCCGAUGAGCGCUGGUGGUGUCUUGUGUAUCAGUUUGAAUGGAAGGCAUGGAUUUCUUCACGACUUCCAAAAUUAGCAAAGAUUUGGGAGGUGUCUCUGUAAUGGGGUCCGUUUAUUUAAUGAAAGGCACAAGUUUCUGCAUGUUGGUUGUUUGCAGAGGCCACUCCUCUCGUCAAAUCUUUGCUUUGUUUUUCUGUAAACUAGGCCCUGGGUUAAUUUCUUACCGAGUGAAAAAGAAUGAUGAUGCCAUGGCAAUACUUUAAAGUAAGUAUAAAAAUUUUGUAAAUGAGAGGCUGUACGCAUUAUAUAAGUCAAAACACAAUGAAGUUAACCUAGUUUAUAAUAACACAAGGAGAGUAGUUCACUGGUAAGGUUUAGGUUUGCUUUGAGAGUAGUUUAAUUAGUACAGGUAUAUAUUUUUGAAAUCCAAACUGAUUUGACUAGUUGAACUGGGAUCCGGCUGACCUGGAUAUAGAACUGGUUUGGAUCUCAGCAAAAACCUGCUUGAGAGUUGACCUGAUAAACCCGUUUAUUUUUCAUACUUUUUCGCUACAACUUUGUAGAAGUACCGACAGAUGUAGAGGUCAUUACAUGCUCUGCAUAUGUUAUAUUAACCAUUGAACAAAAAUGAGAGAAUAAAAAAAUCAUUAGAGAAAUCUGUUGCAUAAAACCCAUUUCUUCAAUCUUUAAAAUUCAAAAUUCAAAGCUAUAUCACUAUCAGUUGCGAUUCGUGAAGAAGAGCAGAGGAGCAAAAGACUUCAAGACCGGUUCAGAUCUACGAGCAGAGUAUAUAAUCCUUCAUCUAGCUCCUCAUGACUCUCCUUGUUUCUCUUGCUCUCUAUUACAUCGUUCAUGUCCACAAACAAACAAUGAAGACGAAGCAAUCUCGAUCUGGGAAGAAACCAUAAGUCCAAUAAUGGGACAUCACGACAUGGAAUAGAGUAAAUGCAACAAUUUGUGCAGGCCAUAAACGAGAUACAACCCAUUUUUCUAGAAAAAAAAAAGAGAGGAUGUAUGGGGGGCAAGGAAAACCCAAGCGGUAAUUGUGGACCAUAAAGAAACGGAUGAAUCUUGUUUUCAGGAUGCUAAACUAACCAAUGGUUAGUAACCACCACCAACAAUACAAGUCAUGCCUUGGCUUUUAUUUUCUAAUUUUAGGACUUUAUUGUAGAAAGCUGUUUUGUUGCUUUAAAAACGAAUGGCAUGCCUUGGCUUUUAUUUUGUUAAUUACUUUUAACAAAAGAAAAGAAAGACUGGCUUUUAAAUUAUUUUUUUUUAAUGACCUGGAUCAACCCAUCUGAUCCGUGACCCGAUUACAGUAUUAGGUCGGGUUUUAAAACUAUGAGUUUAAAUUUGCUUUUUAGAUGUCACCAAUUUGAGUUUCACAAAUCUCAUUGUCACUAGAGGCUUAUAUGUUAAUUUCAAGACUCGUGAGAUUAAUCGAGAUGCGUGCAAACUGGUCUGGACACCUAUAUUAAUUAAAAAAAUAAAAAAAUAUAAAAAAAGUUUAUAAUUAACAAAAUAUUACUUGAUAAAACCAGAAAAAAAAAAACUUGCAAAAAAUCAUGUACAUCCAGGUAAAUUUAAAAAAUUUAGAUUAAUUUUUUAAAUUCAUAACUUGUUGAAGUUAUGAAUUUGAUAAAUAUCUUUCCCAAGGAUUCCCCGGGUAACGUGGUAAGCAAACAAUCAAAGCCUCGCCGGUUGUUUUCUAAGACAUUUUUAGGGUUUUAAAGCCCCGUGAAAUGUUGAAUGAAGUUGAGCUCUCUGCAAACACCAACUGGAUAAUCCCAUAAAUGUUUCAGCGAUUGAAAGAAAAAAAACCAAUUCUACAAAAAAAUAAUUAACUGUAAUCUCAGCAAAACAUUUACAAGGAUAUGGCACCCAGAAGUAAAUGUAACAUGCAAAUAACUGGUCCAACUAAGCCAGGCUCAAGCAGAGCUGUGUUUCUCCCAAAUUUACGUGGUAUCCCAAUUUCAUGCAGCUAAUGGAAUUUACAACCUAAAUCCACACAAGGUCCGCCAUGAUGCUUUCUUCCUAGAGCCAUGGAAUCAAAUUGCUGCCCUCAAUGCUCCUCUUGCAGCUUCCCGCUUCAUCUCGGCAGCUUUACCGCUUCCACGGAAGUACAUGCCUACUUGCUGCGCGGCAAAUGGGAACAAUGGUGUGACGUAUGCUUUCAAGAAAAUUCUAAAUGCUAAUGGUGGAUAGAUGUUAUUAUAAACAACUCAUCACAAGGAAAAACAUGGAAAUGUACCUGAAUAACCCAGAUGCUCAGCAGUGAUUCAAGACAGAAACAACCGAAUCCGAUGAAGUAGAAAAUCUAUAAGAAAAGGUAAAAAAUUAACCAUCCAGCCUGCAGAAAGUAAUGCCAUGUUGUUUCUAGCAAUAAAACCAACGUCACAGUGGAUAACAAACAGAGCAAAGUCGAAGGAACAAAGCUAGGAAAAAAAAUAAAAAAGAAGUGGAGGCCUAACUUGUUCAAGCGCUUAGUCAUUCAUAAACAAGGAUUUGGAAGAAAUAGAUAAUCAGCAAGAAACAUAACAAAUUGAUAUCAGAGAUCUUACCCCAGCUAAAGUACUAUUACCGACAACAUCAACUGCAGCCAGGAUACCACUGAUUCAAAGUCCCACAACAAAAAACCAUUAGCCACAAAACUUUAAAGGAUUUUGCAUUAUAAAGAAUAGUGAUUUUUUGAAAUUCGCAAGAAUGCUGGUUUGAAAACGGUAGUUAAAAAUAAUUGAAGAAACCUACGUGAGAGACUUUCCCUUGAAAACUAUAGGUGGAGCAACAGCAGCAAAGAUGCAGAAGCCAAUGUGAAGCUGGGGAAAGAAAGAUGGAACAAAAGGUUAGAUAUUCAAUUUUGAUUUUCAUAGGAGAUAAGCUGUACAAAAUAUAAAAGACAUGAAAAAACACCAGAGAUUAAAAUUUACCGCAUAAAGCAUGAAAAACCAUCCAAAACUCAUAGCACUCUCAGUCCUGCAUGAAGAGUUUGAAUUGAUUGAAUAAAAGAGAACUUAAUUCAACAGCACAGUAAACUGCAAUAUUUGUAUGUUUUGAAAUAACUAUACAUGAUCAUCGGUGUAUGGAGGUAAAUAUCUAGAUUAACAACACCCCUUGUUCACAUUUUGUUUCAAUCAUCUAAACAUAAAUCAUUGGAUCAGAAUAAUGUUAACAAUGAAAGUACAUCAUAAACAUACAUUCACCAAUAAUCUGCUACUUUUCAAUGGUCUCGUGUAUAUUUCAAGCUUCAAAACAACACCUUUUGACCUCCCUAGCAUAAACCAGCCUUGUCUUCCACAGUUUUGAAAAACAGCUCAUAAAGCACAGUAACUCAACCAAGCCUCGGUCCUGAACUAGCUGUUUUUUUUUAGGGUUUACUCUUCAGCCUAGUUCAGACUUAAGAAUCACACAGAAGUUGGAAAAAAAAAAAGGGAGGUAAAUACCUAAAUGCACGAUAGAGUGGACGAUACCACAGAAAAUAAGCUCCAGGAACUCCUGCUAUGAAGUAGAUAACAGCAAGAAACCAGACGUUUACCCCUGCAACAAAUGAUGUUUCAAGAUGAAGAGUUUUAAAAACAAAACAGAUAAUGGAACACCUUGCAAACACAGGAUAGAUGAGGCACAAGUUUCCGAACUAACCUCCUCCUUUAAUCCAUAAUGUUGUAACAGAUAUCACAUUCCAGAAAAGACAAAAAGUAAUUCCUGCACAAGAUCACCACUUACACUGAGCCAUUUCACAAUGUAAUUGUGCACAAUUACAUCAAAGUUACUAUAAUAACGAAAAAUAAUCACAUUGAACCAGUACUAUAUGCAUACUUCAAUCAAUUAGAUCGCCUUUUUGCUAAUGAACUUUCCAUCUUACACAUGAUAUUAGUUGUAAUCUAGGUCCGAAGCAGAAGUGUAGCAUGGAUAUGACAUGAUGCAAAUUUCCCUCGGCUAUAUGGUCUGUAAGGAAGGUAAAUAAGCAAGUGUUUCUGUGCAAAGAUGGCAUCACAGACCAAGGGGAAGAACAGAACCCAAUUUAGACCCAGGAAUAGUGAGUGCUUUUAAUUACUAGGCAGCAUGGAAAAUGAUAGUCUCUUUCCUUGAGGUGUAGGCUGGGAGCUGGGAGGAGAAUGGUAGGGAAGGAGGGGAUGGGAAGAAAAAGAUACACUCCAUGCAGAUGAUCUCAGAUUGUCACAGUGAUGGUGUAUUUUACAGAAAACAAUGGCAGGGUCACAGCUUAAAAAACCUUGUGGAUGCUUCACGUUUGAAAAUUGUCCCAUUUGAAAAAAAAAAUAUUGAGCAGUAACACAAUGAACACAUAAUUCAUGUACUAACAGCCACAGCAAUAUAAUACACAUAGAUCCUCCUGGUUGGGAUACUUAAGAGGGUCAAGGCGCAUGCCCUGGACCCCAUCCAAUAAACUAGAUAGCGGAUACCUUAAAGUAAUUGGAGAAAUAUGACAAGAAUUCCAUAUCUCAAUAUUUCAACAAGGAUUUGUUAGCCAAGCUUCCAACCUUGACAAGGAUUUGUUAUUAUGAAAAAAAUGGAAGGAAUGUAGAGUUUCAAAACCCAGAAGUGUUCAAAAAAAUGGACUUCUUAAGUAGACGCUGACAACAUCAGUUCACAGAUCUGGAUGGAGGCUCACAUACCUAGAAAUGUUGUAAACGCAACAUAUUGAAGUUUCUGUAGAUGAACUGGUAUUUCAUUUGCAAUAUCAUGAUGGAUAAUUGGGAAAAAUGGUGGCCAAUUUUUCUCUUCCAGGACAAUUCCAGCUGUGAAUGGAAAGAGAGAACUAAAAACGUUAAUUGCAUGACAGAACUAGUGCACCAAUCAACCAUACAAGCAAAGAGAAUCAGUCCGGUUGUUCAAAUAAUACGUGCAACUAGGUAUUCAAAUAUUUCACAAUGGAAAAAAGUAGUCUUGUAGACGAGCAUCAUCAGAAACAAGGAACAAUUGGCGAGUGUUGCAAAUAAAAUACACCUACUCAUUUUAACACCAACCAAAGUACAAAGGACCUGGUUCAUUUCCUUAUUCAUCUUUCAAAGAAAAUAUCCUAUGCCAGAUGAUGUGAAAAGGCUUGAUCAAAAGCAUAUUACCUCUAGCAGCUGCAUCUUCUUUCCUCUUCACCUCCUGUUUAGCACCAGAAGGCAGAUUAAUGAGAUGAAUAGAAUGCAAGGAUAUGAAGUGAGAAGAAAGUCACAAAAGAAAAGCAUCCAUAAUAAGUUUAAAAGGAUGACAGAGCUAAUCAAUAUCCAACCUGCACGAUGUCCAAAAAUUAUGGUGGGAUGUUUAUAAAUAAAUAAACACUGCUCUGCACUGAAGCUUUUAUAGCAGUAUAAAACAGGUUCUAUUAAUAAACCAGAACAUAAAUACAUUUUCAAAAGGCAAUUUCACAUCCUUUAAAGACCUUUGACAACACAAACCAUAAUUGUAAGGAUUCGUAAAUGUCUUCCUUCUAAACAACUUUGUUCAGCGCAAAAAAAGUUAAUCACAGUUCCACUUGAAAAUCUAACACUUCUAUCAGAACAUACCUGCUCCCGCCUUCUCAGUUCAGCCUCCUUAGCUUGAAGUUCCUUCUCUUUCUUCCUUAAGUCCUAGAUUCAUAACAUACUAUUAAGAAAAAAUCAAGUAUAGCACUAAUUAUACAAAUGAAAAAAUGGACUCUGGUUUUCACCAGAAAGAGAAUUUUGCCCAUACCGCAGGUGCAUCAAUAGGAAUGUCAACUGUAUUGCCGUAAUUGUAAAAGUCAGCAGGUUCAGGAGGAAGUGGUGAAAGCCUCGAGUUUGAUGCAGGAGGAGCACUCUAGAAAAUUACCAAUAUCAUGAGCAAGAAUUCCAGAAUUCAAUAAACAAAAGAUUGGUACCAGAAUCUACUGGUUCAAAAUUGAAAUAUAUGUCAAUUUUUGCAAGAAUUAGGCUUACUGCUGUGUUAAAUGCACGCCCACCAUACUUCGAUUGCCCUGAUGAUUUCGAUCUCACAGCUGGGUCCUGGUGAAAAAAAAAAAACCAGAUUAAAAUUAUCAGGCUCUUGAAAAAUACAAGGCAAAAGGCCAGCCAUCUAAUUCCUGAAAAUGAUCCUGAUCCACGUUAAGCACCAGCUUAUCUCUCCCACCAGCAUGGAUUACUCACAUUUUAAAAAAAAAAAAUAUGAUGUCUAUUAAUAUUUAACAACCUUCAACCACUACAUAAUUUGAUCAAUAAUUCAGAUGCACAAGAUCACUCAAGUCUUGAUUAACGAUUGUUACUGAUAGGUGGGAUAAUUAACUAGGCAAAGUAAUCAAAAUUAAGCAAUAAUUAAAUUUCCCUAACAAAAAAGUUAAACCAAUCACAGAACCAUAAAAGUCAACCACAAAAAAGACCUCACUAAACCCUGUGAUUCUGAGAGUUCUCCCUUUAAUCACUUCUAAAACCUACAAAACACUCAUAAACACUUCCAAGAGAACACCAAAUGGGACAAAGUACAAAGAAGACUGAAGAGAGGCUUACAGAGAAAGGGUUAACUUCUUCUUCAUCAAAAGGGUUAGGAUCGUACCGACCAGCCAUCACAGAAAGCAGAAACCAAGGUGAAGAGAGACUCCAAAACCACCAAAAAAAAAAAAUUCAAACUUCGAACAGAGAAAGUGAAAGAGAGAAGGCGAGAAGGAGCUUAGGCUAAGGCUUGUUGGGAAGUCAAGGAAGCAAAAUAUUUGAAAUAAAAGAAAUGAAAUGUUAAGGUAGACAAAGACAACAAAGUCAAAAAAACCAUACAGUUCUAGAGAGAGAGAAUUGUCUCUGGUCAGCUUUUUUAUAUAUAUAUAUAUAUAAUUAAUAUGAAUGUGUAGAUUAGUUUUUAUAUAUUUUGACUUGAAUUAAUAAUUUUUAUAAAAUAAAUUUAAAAUUUAAUUAAUUAAAUUAUAUAUUUUAAGAUUUUUUCAGCCUUUUUACAUGUACCGCUGAUUUUUUUGUUUGUCGUAAGAAAAUGGAAUUUCGCAACGGACAAAUGAACCUCUUGUUUUCCGACAUUAUAAUAAUCUUUGUUUCUGCUGUUCGUUUUUAAUUUAUUUUAAAAAAAUAUAUUAAAUUUAUUUUUUAAAAUAUUUUUUCAUUUAAAAAUACAUAUAUAAAAAAACAAAAACAAUUGAAAUUAUAAAGUAUAUAUUUCUUUCUUUCUUUUGUUUUGAAAAACAAAUCAAUUUAAAAUUAUUACAAACUUAAAUUUAUUUUAUCUUUUUAUUUAAAUUAAUGUUUAUAUUUGUUUCUUGAAUCCUCUAUGACUAAGCAUGUUUGGAAGUGUGGUUGUGGUUACUUUUUAAAAUACAUUUCGUAUCAAAAUAUAUUAAAAUGAUGUUUUUUUAUUUUUUAAAAAUUAUUUUUAAGAUGAGCGCAUCAAAAAGAUCGAAAACAUAUACAAAAUUAAAUUUUAAUAAAAAAAUUUAAAUUUUUAUGAAAAAAAUUUAAACGGUGCCAUGUAUUUGUUUGCUGGUUGGUUGUUUUGAAAAGGAAUAAAUGAAUUUGAAUUUGAAUUUAUCAACUGAACUUUUUGUUUUAAUCUUUGUCUUGUUUUGGACAUCACUGAUGAUGUUUUUCUUAAUGGGAUUUAACUUUUAGGACAUUUUUGGAUUUUUGUUCAAUGAUAAAUAAGUCACCUCUUUUUAAUCCUUUUCAUAACAAAUAAAAUUCAUAGAAAUUUCUACUUUUUAUGGUCUAAUUUGAGAUUUGAAAUCUAGCAACCAGUAAACUUCAUUUUAACUUUGUUUAAUUUAGACAUAAUUCAUGAUUUUAAUAUGCGCAUUUAUGCCUCAACCAAGCACUGAGUUUUUUUUUAGUAGAUUAUUUUAAGAUCUCAUGAUGUUAUAUUAUGCUCACAUUAAUUAAUAUUUAUGAAUAAGAAAAUGUGUAUUUGUGUUUGCACACCUAGGCAAUGACAUGAUGUUUGAGGGUUUGGUAAAAAUUAUUUUUUAAAGCAUUUUUUAUUUAAAAAUAUUUUUUAAAAAAUUCUUUUUUUUAAUAUCAUAUAUCAAAAAAUAAUUAAAUAUAUAUAAAAAAAUAAUUUUAAAAAAAAUAUUAUUAUGACCUAUAGAAAUGGAGAUAGGCAUGACAUAUGAAAUGAUGUUUGAGAGUAUGGUAGAUGUUAUUUUUUAUUUGAAAAUAUAUUAAAAUAAAAUAUUUUUGAAUGUUAUUAUAUCAAAAACAAUUUUAAAAUAAAAAAAAUAAUUUUAAUAAAAAUAUUAUUACAACUCUUGGAGAUGAGGACGGGCAUAUAGCGUAGCAUCAAGAAGGUGCGAAGAAGAAUAGGAAGGAGUCAAUAUUUGUUUUUAAGAAUUGAAUACAACUUUCCAAACCGUGUUUUUUGAAAAAUAAAUAAAAUUAAAGGCUCUAAAAUGAGGGUUGAAUUCAAAGUUUGGAAUGCAGUCUGAAUCUUCUGUGUGCCUAAUUUGAAGCAUUGGGUCAAUACUAGAGCCGUGUCUAGACUAUAGAGAGAAUAAACCCCGUGCUUUUCCAUAGUUAAUAUAAAAUCAUUCACCAAGCAAUUUAUUUUAAAAAAAAAUGAUACAGUUUCACUUGAAGAGGCCUCAAAUAAUUCUUAAAAAUUCAUUCAUAAACGUUAUCAAAUGAUAACAGUUUAAAUGUUUGGAUUGAAAUUUUAAUUUACACUUUUUGAGUAUUAGUGGAUUCAACUCUUAAUUUCUCAAAUUAAUUUAGAGUAUCAAAUUCAAAUUCAAAUACUAAAUAAACAACUAGAAAAUAAGAAUCACAUAUAUAUAUAUAUAUAUAUAUAUAGAGAGAGAGAUAAAAUCAUACAAGUUCUUGCAUUAGUGUUUCAUUGUAGAUUCACAUAAUAAAAUUAUUUUAAAAAAAAAUUAUUUUACUCUGAUCCCUCAACUUAUUUUUUUUAAUUAAUUCUUUAAAAUUACAUUUCUUUGAAAUUGUUUGCGGUGGUUUGUUUUCACGCCUACAUGUGGGGGCUUUCUAGUAUCAAGACAAUAUUAUAAUGCUCGGUUGAUGCUCAGUUUAGUAAAAUAAAAUUUAAUUUUUUUGAUUAAUAAGAAUUAGAACUUCAAUUACUGAAUUCAAAGCAUGAACAAAUAUUUAGUCUCUUUUCCUUGUCAAGAUCAGGAUUGCUUUGUAUGUUAAAUAAAAGUGUUUUUUUUUACACUCAACUUUUUUUUUUUAAUUUAAUCCUUUCACAUUGACUUUAUUUAAAAUUUAACUUGGUAGUUUGUUUUGGUUGUCUAGGUAUUAAGCUUUUGCAAUAUCGAUGGAAAAGUUUGGUGCUUUGUGAAAACUAUAUUUGCUAUAAAAAAAAAAAAAAAAAAGAGCUAGUGUUAAGGGACCACAACUAUGGUCCCUUUAAGUUGGGUGCUUGGUUUCAAUUGUGAUCUCUUAAAUGUUAAGGGACCACAAUUGAAACUCAAACAAAUAUAGAGACUAAAGUAAAUAAACAGGACAAAUAGACUAAUGCAUGUACCUUAUGCAUGAGUGAGUGAGAGGCUUUUAUGAUAUUUAGGCAACAUGUGAGGCAUAACUAAGCAGCCAAAUAGUGGCUUCCACGGUGAUGUUGGAAGCGCCACUUUCAUGCCUUUGUAGGUGGUGUGACGCAUGUACGAGGGGUUGUGGCCGUUGGGCUUUAAUGAGUGUUUUUUUUUAUUUUUAUUUUUUUUUCUUAUUUUAUAGAAUUGUACUAGCCUGCAAAGAUUCAGAGAUGCCCAGUUAUUUGUUAUUUGUAUUAAAUAUGAUCAUAGUUUUUUACUACUAUUUACUUUGUCUUGAAUCCUUUUUUUUAUUGAUUUAUUUUUCAAUUCAUCUAUUAGCAGUUGGUUUUAUUUAAUUUUUAUAUCAAAUUUUAUUUUUAUUUUUUUUAUUGCUCUUUGUUUCUUUUUUGUCCUUUUCUUAAUUGAUUUUUUUUUUAAUUUCAUCCCUUAACAUUUAAUUUUAUCUUUUUAUGUCAUGUUUGGUCAUCAUUCUCUUUAUUAAUAUUUGGUUUUCAUGUUUGGUCAAAUAAGAAUCACCUCUUAAAAGUUCAAGCUUUUAUAUAUAUAUAAAAGCUUGAACUUUUAAGAGGGUUAUAUAUAUAUAUAUAUAUAUAUAGAAAGAGAGAGAGAGAGAGAGACAUAUACUAAUACAAGUUCUUGCAUUAGUGUUUUAUUGUAGAUUCACAUAAUAAAAUUAUUUUACUUUGGUCCCUCAACUUAUUUUUCUUUUAAUUAGUUCUUUAAAAUUACAUAUUUUUUAAAUUGUUAGUGGUGGUUUGUUUUCACGCCUACAUGUUGGGGCUUUCUAGUAUCAGGACAAUAUUCUAACGCUCGGUUGAUGCUCAGUUUAGUAAAAUAAAAUUUAAUUUUUUUUAUUAAUAAGAAUUAGAACUUUAAUUACUGAAUUCAAAGCAUGAACAAAUAUUUAGUCCCUUUUCCUUGUUAAGAUCAGGAUUGCUUUGUAUGUUAAAUAAAAGUGUUUUUUUUUACACUCAACUUUUAUUUUUUUUAAUUUAAUCUUUUCAUAUUGACUUUAUUUGAAAUUUAACUUGGUAGUUUGUUUUGAUUGUUUAGGUAUCAAGCUUUUGCAAUGUCAAGGGAAACAUUUGGUGCUUAGUCGAUACUCUAUUUUGCUUAAAAAAAACAAAAGGGCUAGUGUUCAGGGACCACAAUUAUGGUCCCUUUUAAGUUUGGUGCUUAGUUUCAAUUGUGAUCUCUUAAGUGUUAAGUGUUAAGGGACCACAAUUGAAACUUAAAUAAAUAUAGAUACUAGAGUAAAUAAAUAAGGUAAAUAGACUAGUGCAUGUACCUUUUGCAUGAGCGAGUGAGAGGCUUUUAUGAUUUUUAGGCAACAUAUGAGGCAUAAUUAGACAACCAAAUAGUGGCUUCCAUGGUGAUGUUGGAAGCGCCACUUCCAUGCCUUUUUAGGUGGUGUGGCGCAUGUAUAAAGGGUUGUGGUGAUUGGAUUCUAAUGAAUUUUUUUUUUAUUUCUCUUUUUUUUCUUUUUUUUUAGGGAAUUGUGCUAGCUUGUAAAGAUUCAGAGAUGCCCUGUUAUUUGUUAUUUGUAUCAAAUAUGAUUAUCGUUUUUUUAUUACUAUUUAUUUUAUCUUGAAUCCUUUUUUUAUUGAUUUAUUUUUCAAUUCAUCUAUUAGUAUUUGGUUUUAUUUAAUUUUUAUAUCAAAUUUUAUUCUUAGUUUUUUUAUUGCUCUUUGUUUUUUUUUGUCCUUUUCGUAAUUGAUUUUUUUUCAAUUUCAUCCCUUAAUAUUUAAUUUUAUUUUUUUUGUCAUGUUUGGUCAUCAUUCUCUUUAUUAAUAUUUGUUUUGUUUUUUUAUUUAUUUUUUUAUUUUAUCCAUCAAAAAAACAUAAUUAAAAAUUUGACUUUAUAGUUUUUUCCAUAAGCUAGUGUCAGCUCUAUACCUAGGUCAUUGGUCUUGAAGAAUAGCUUCAAUUGACCUCAAUUAUUUUUAAAUUAUUUUUUAAUUUAAAAUAAUUAACAAUAGUUGGAUUGUUGGGACUUGAGUAAAUGUUUUUAGUAAAAUAAUUGUUAAUACAUGUUUACUCUAAUCUCAAUAUUUGAAUUUUAAAGAUUAAGUCCUUUUAUUGUUUUUUUAUUAUUUACAUGAUUAUUACGAUCUCAUAACUAAAACCAUUCUAAUCCUUCCUAAUAGGUUUGCACAAAUUAGCUAAGAUUUUUUUUUUCAAAUUAUAUUUUUAAGAUUAAAUAUUUUCUCGCUUUAUUUUUUAAUAUUUGAUUUGUUAAAGCAUGUAUUAAAAUUGAUUUGUUAAAGCAUGUAUUAAAAUUAAUGUGGUGUAAGCAAGUUCCUUUUAAAACUUUUUUUACCGCCAUCAUUACUCACAGAGCUUGAGCAUUCGUCGUUCCACUAUUCGGAAAGAGAAGGCAUUGGCCAUUGUCAAUUAUCUUACAAGGAUCAAUUGUCUUGAUUCUAGGUGGGGCCUUGCACGCUUGAGGAGAAUCCGGUAAUGAUUUAGGUUUUCCUUAUAGCUUACGAAUUCCUAGUUUAGUUUUGAGGAUCUGCCAUUUUUUUAGUAAACGUUCAAAGUUUGUACUUUUUUUUAUUGGAUACAAGUCAUUGAACGUUGAAUUUCAUCUAUGCAUAUAUCAUAAAUUUGCAUAGUUUUGGACAGAAGAUGGCCUGUCAAAUUACCUAGUAUAUGUAUGAUCUGGUGAUGUUGAACCCACUUGCAGUCAUAUUUACUCUCAGAAAUCCUAAUGGAAUCAUAUGGGGUGAUAAAUUAACACGGAUGAACAAUCGAACCAUCUCCGGCGAUAUACUGUAUAGCUGCGAUGGCAAAGCAUGUAUUCUUGCUGCAUAAAGCCAAAUGCUGAGCAUAGAUUCAAGACUCAACCCACCAGAACCGAUGAAGUAUACACAACCAAUCUCUGCAUAAUCACCACCAGAAAUGUCCAACGCACUCAGAAUGCCUUUUAGGGAUCUUCCAUUAAUGGCUAUUACAGGAGGAGAAACUGCAGCAAAAUGCAGAAGGCAACGUGGAUCGAAUAGAUGUGGAGAAAAUAACGCAACAUGGAAGCAUUUUCUGACCUCAGAGCUUGACAAAGAGGACGAGACCAUAACCAGUUUGCUGCUGGAAGUCCACAGACUAGGUAGGCCAUUGCGUGGAACACAACUUUUGUUUCUACCCCACCCCUACCAUCCGCAAAGUUCAGCAGAUACGGCAUUUCAAAAAAGACAUUCAAUCCUAAAAAUGUUGAGAGAUGCCACAUUCAGCAACAUUUUCCAAUGGUCAUCUAUUUCAUCUACGAAGGGGUUUUACUUAAUUCCAAAGUAGAUUACUACAAUAAGGACCUGCUGCCAUGAGGAGAGAAUCUUAAAUACUCAAGGAAAGUGGAAGCUACAAAAUCCAUGAUAGGAAGAGAACCAGAAAACCUAUAGAAGAGAAGCAAGUACAGAUAAAACAGGACAAAGCUAGAGGAACUAGAAGUGGAGAUCAGAGACUUGGUGAAUUGUGCUGCAGUACGGCAGACCUUAAAUUUCUUCCCCAAAAUAACUCAUUGUUCAUCUAUAGGUGAUACACAAAGGAAUCUAUAUGCCUUGAAUUUGCAAAAUUGGAGCAUCAAGUAAUGAAUUAAUUAUGAGCAUCAAUAGAAGCUAGGACUAAAUCACACGUAUAGAUAAGACUGUGUGUGUAUGAUGUAAGAUGUAGAAGACUAAACUAGGGGUUAUGCCGACGGUUAAGCAGUCUUAGUUUUCUAAGAAAAGGAUCGACCCAAUUUUUGUCCUCCUUUACAGCUUGAUUCCAGCGAUCCUUAAAUAUUUGAAGCUCCCACGUUGAUUGCCUUCUAAUCUGAUCAGUCCAUUAAAAGAAAACCACAGUUAAUCAAAUUACUGAAAUGAUAGCAUAGUUGCAAAGUAAACAGUAUUAGACCAUGCUUGAUAUCAGAACCUACUAUUCUAUCAGUUUUUAAUAGCCGAAUAUUAGUUGCAGAUCUCAACAAAAUUAGAAUCAGCCAAAGAGCAUAACUUGGAGAACAUGUAAACAAUCAAGGUAGCAAUCCUAGACUACUUGGCAGCUCUUCUGCCUGUUGCAGGCAUUUCAUGUCAAGUAGAAUAGAAGUAUUUAAAAUGCUCAAAACAUAGACUAGAGGACUAUUCUCACCUCCAUCCUAGGAUCCAUGCCUGUAGCACUGUGUCUCUGAAAGUCAGGAGAGAAUAAAUCAAAAAAGAGAAGGUAAAAAUUAUAGGAAUUAAUUGAUGCAGCUACAAUAUAGCAUUGAUGAAAAAAGAUCUUCUAUUACACCGAGUAUAGUUUACCUUAGUCAACUCUUCUGUAUUUGACGCCUAAACAGAGAGAGAGCACGAUGAUAUUAAUAAUAGAAAAUAAUAAGCAUGUGGACAAAAAACAUCUAAUAAGAAAAUAACUGUAAUUCCUUUUCUUUUCUUUUUUUUCCUUGAGAGAAAAAGGCGAGCAGGAUGACCUUUCUUCCAGGGGGUCCAUGCCCACCCAGAGUUUGUAUGCCCUUGUGAACAAUAUAUUCACUAUCAACAACUCCCACCUUCUUCGUGCGAUCUCCCUGUAUAAUGCCACAUCUAUCAAUGCUAUCAUAACAUUCUUUUCUACAUUCACAAGUAUACAUGGCAAACAAGAUAAAGAAAUAGAUAAAACGAAAAGGUCAUCAAGCAUUAAAGUACAUGAAAAUAGGGGUUUGGUUCUAUAUUGAAAUUUGGUAAACGAUGGUUAAUAAUUAUUCUAACAAAAAGGAUCAGCGAGUUACCUUGUCGGCACACUGACUUAUUUAUAUCUGCAUUUACUCUCAAUUCCUAAUUAACAUAAAAUGAUUUCCUUCUAGUGAAAAGGUGCUAAGUCCCUAGGAGGCAGAAAAAAGAAAAAGAUCAACUUUUCCAUCCUAUCUUAUGGAAAUGGUCUUUGCCAGUGGGUUACAGUGAGGGCAUGGCAAGAAGAUUCUCUAGUGUGCUAAUGAUUGUUGAUAACCAUAAAAUUCUUCAUCCAAAACCACUCAUAAUCCAUCACUCUUCAUGAAAUUUUCUUACAUUUUCCAUAUCUACUUACAUAAUUUUUAUGCUGCUUCAUGAUACCACAUUUAUUUGGCAAUAGCCAUACCUCCUGCAACCUUUCCUACUACUAUCUUAGUUCUGAAAAUAACUCUGUUAGCAGCAUUGAGCCAAGAAUUGAGGGGGAGGAAAAUAGUCAGAGAAACUGAAAAUAGUCCCAGAAAUAUCAUGUUCGACAUACCUGCGCACAAUAUCCAAGUUUCAUAUCCAUUCCCCAUCCAUGGACUAGAUCAUUCUGGAAAUUAAAAAAAGAAAAGAAGUUCCAUGAUGUGUUAAUCAACCUUAAGGCAAAAGUGCACUUAAUUUGCAAUCAUGCUAUAGUGGGUAGAGUAGAGCUUAACCGUAUGUCCAUAUAUUCCACCUAACAAAAGUGAGUUAUAUGCAAUGCACCAUUUAUUUAUGGAAAGUGUUUUCUUGGAAAAUAUUUUCCUUGCUUUCCUAGGUUUGGUGCAGCUAGGCAAAAUGAGUCAAAGGAACUCGUCAGGAAAAUAUUUUCCACAUACCUGCCACCUCAUCAGAAAACAACUCAUCUUUUCAAACAAUAUUCCCCAUAGAAUUCUUUUUUUUUCCAAAAUCAAUUUGUUUUGCUGCAAGCAAACAAGGCCUAAAUCCUAAAUGCUUCUCAACUAAAUUUCACACAAGACAACCUGCUUAGACUAGAGCAUCAAAUAGCAAGUCCAGAGGGGAUCGAUGGCUUAUUGAUAGUGUUACAUAGAGAACCUUUUUUUAACUAGAACAAUCAAAACUUAGAUUACCUGUAUAAGAUGCCAAGCACAGUACCAAGCAGAUCUUGAAAAUACUGGAGCCAUACCCUCCACAAAUCUACAGAUGUGACAUGGAUAAAAUUAGGAUUGCUACAAUCCUUACAAGAACAAUAAAGUACAUCCUUCAAUGGGUAUCACAAGUAUUGAAGUUCCAUGAAAAAGAUGAACUCAAGGUGUAGCUUCUCAAACAGUCAGUAAACAGAACUUCUAGUACUAUUUGACAGAAUAUUAGAUUAUUCACCAAAAAGCUUUUGUUAGGUAAGGCCUCGAGAUAUGAUUUAUAUAAUUUUCUAACAUGUCAUUUCAAGUGAAAACUUUUUGAGUUUGAAAUUUACAGACGCACACUACCUUGGAUUUAAUUUUUAUCAAAUAGAAUGGAAAUGGUGAGAUUUGAACUUGUGACCGCUUGGUCAACAAGGUUGUGAUACCUUAUCAAAGAACCAACCCAACCUAAAAACUUAAAUUGUUAGAUGAGGCUCCAAAAUAUGAUUUAUAUAAUUCUCUAUCAGUCAACUUUUCAAAAAUAGAAAACCAAAAGAAAGAAAUGAUGUUUAGGUUAAAUAACCGAAAGUUAGCCACAAAUGAGGCAGUAACUGAAAUAAGUAGAAGUCAGAAACAUAGGAUUGCACCAAAUUGUAAAGAGCAAACAACAAGACAUAUCACAACUAGAGGAAUGCAAUAGGUUACCCAGUGCAUGGUGGCCCCUCACUGACAUCAGAACAUUUGGUGCUGCCUCUGCGUUCAUAAACUCUUCUGCUCAUGGUAAAUUAUUUUGUAUAAGAGUUACAAUUGUCUUCAGAAAUUUUAAUUUAGUAAAAGCCAUGCCAUUCACCUAUGAAACUUCUUUGUUCUGGCACGAAUAGUAAUUCUAUGAUGUAUUUCAGUUGAAUUUGGGUCCAGAGCUGGCUGAGAUAUCUCCAGGCCUUCAUAUCUCACAAUUUUCAGGUAUCUAGACAAAAAUUAAAAGAAAAAGGAAUUAUAAAUCAAUCUUGUUUUUUAUGACAGGGCCUGAGCCUAUUCACACUUAUGUUCUCAUAAAAAAGAAUUUCAAAUCAAGUAAGAGUAUGGAAUUGGUUAACUCCGACAAUCCUUGGUCUCUCUCCUAAAUCAUGUAAUUCCAAAUUGUCCUAGAUAUAAUAAUCCUAAGAUGGUUCACCAAGUAAAAUAAACCGUCUUAGUAUGAACAUCCUCAGCAAAAGAGAAUCCUGUUCCAGCAAGAGUUUGGAGAGCAGAUUAAAUUCUAGUCAUUAACAAUCCAAAAGACAUGAUAAAAGAAAGACAAAAAUUGAAUCAUGGAUAUCUAUAAAUGAGUGGUAGAAAAUAAUAAAAAUGGGAAUGAAGAUGAGAACAAGCCUAGUAGUUUCUAAUAAAUUGGAGCACUGAGAAGGUCCUAAUUGAUUAAUGUUUGUCAGACAUAGCUAUAAGUCACAAGUUUAUAUUGAAGUGACAAAGGGAAAACAUAAAGACAACCCAUUACCAAAAGCUGGCAUCAUAAACAUAUGUAGGAGAGAAAUGUCCAGCAAACUAACCUCCCUGGAUUAAAAUGCUCUACCCCCAGAUCUUCAUCCCAUAGAAAUAUGUAAUCAUAAAUAGACACAACAGCUGGAUGCAGAAAGCGUUUUGCAAACCACCUGAAAAGCAAAGAAAGUGAGUCUCUUUUUAGAAAAAAACAGGAAUAAUCCAGGAAAAAAAAAGAAGGAAUGUCUUCUUUUCAUGAGAUUAACCCACGAAAUCCUGCCUCCAUCUGAACUUCGAGGCUAAAUGAUUUGUUAAUCAUCCGUUUAAACCAUACAAAGAAAGGUGGUAAAAAGUAACCAGAAAGGAAAUUAUCAAGGUUGAACUCACCACUUCGUUUGGUUCUUAGCAGCUAUGUGUAUGACUUCAUUACUCCAGUCUAGAUCCCACCACCCAUCCACUUUGCCAUCAUAAUGAAAUAGAAUAACUGUAAAAUUCUCUGGAAGAAACUGAAUUCAAUGAUAUUAGGCAAGAAAUGUUCAGUUGAUGAAACAAAAACAUUAGACAAGACUGUGCAAUACCUUUUGGACAAUACGAUUGACAUUAUCCUUUUGCUUGAUGCCAACUGGAAUUGCCAGCAAGAAUCGACGGGUAGAAGGAUCAGCCUGCAUUUGAAUUCCAAUUUAAGUCAAGAAUAACACUGCAUACAUGUUCAGUGUUGUUCCAGCACAAGAAUCAAGCACUAUUAUAUAAAUAAUCCAGAUUUAUAUGGUCAUAAACAAGAACAAAUUCUGACACGACCUUGAAUUGAUGGCACAGUUCAAACUUCAAAGGGAUAAAAAAACAACCUUCGACCUUGAACUACUUGUUGACCACAGAGGCUUCAGCUCCAAAUCUGAGCUAGCUCGUAUAAUACCAUGAGGCAAACCAACCAACAGACCAGAUGCCAAAGCAGAUUCCUAUGUCAAAGCACCGGAAGCAUCUUGAGAUAAUGAUGAAAACAGAACAAUUUCAGUACUUUGGAAUUUUAAUUGGUAGUUCUGAAAUUACCUUCAAUGAGUCAAAGGGGUACAAUUUUUCUUCCAUCUGACAAUGGUGGAGAAAAACUAGUCAGCAAGCUUUCACCAGGAUGUGAGAUAAAAUGGUAAGAGUUCAACAGAAGCGGCACCAUUAAAACACACAGCUAGAGCUGAACCUAUUUUCUAUGUGAAAAAUGCAGCUUAACCUGUACCUAGAGGUAAAUACAACAACAGAAAAGCUGUAGAUGGACCAGCAAAUGACACAAGAAGUUAUUGAGAUUCUGGACUUGACCAUACUAAGUUACAUUUCUUUCAGAAGUUUGAAAUCAUUGUCACCAAUUAUCUUCUAUAUCAUAAAUAUUGGAAUUAAUGCCUUCAUGAACAAAAAACAAAUCAUCAAAUCAUUCACCAGAAGAGAAUUAAGAGCACAUUUUGGCUACUUGAUUGAUACUUGUAAGUUAAAAUAUGUAUAGACUUGAUGGGAUUUCCAUACUUCUGUGUGUUUAUAUUGAUAUGUUGUGGUUCUAUACACAAUGAACAACAUUGUUGUAAACAAAAAUCCCAUAAACGGCAGCUGCUUCAUCUUUAAUCCAAAUUUUACCUGCACCAAGACGACAAAAUUACAUCUUAGAUGAUUACCAAAACAAAGGCAGAUUCUGUAAAAAUUCCACUUUCUUAGAUGCAUCCAAUACUGAGAAGCUUAAGUAUCGUAUGUCAUACCCCAUCAAAGUAGUUCCUUUUUAGCAGUUUCCAUGAUCUGAAUGACGUCAUGGACAGUCAAAGCUUUUACAAUGUUCUCAUAACAAACUGCAGCCAAUGCACAAAAAAACUGAGACCAAUAUCAGAAGCAGCCCUGAUCAAAUGCUACAACUUUUCCAGUAGAAAAAAUAUCUAUGGUGAAAUGUUUGCAAUUUCACUUUUGGCAUAAGAUUAAGUUCUAGCAUGAUCAAAAACUCAACAAACAAUUGUGUAAGCUGUUUUAGCCCAAUUUCUUAAUUAAGAAAGAUUCCCAGAAACCCCCUCUAUUGACUAUUGCUCAAUUUUGAAGAACCUUUAAUAUUCAUACUCUCUUUCGGCAUAUAAACCUCAAUUUUCACAUUAACCUUAAUAAAAGGUCAAAAAUUGUGUGAAACAAACUUGAAUUGGCAACCCAAAAUACCCAGAAAGAGAAAUGGAAAUUAAGUUUGUAGUUAGUUAGCUUGAUUAGUUGCAUGCAUGCGAUGUUAGUGAAAUGCAAAGAAAGAAAGCUUAAACCUUUACUGAUCAACUUGUUAUUAAUGCUAACAUAGAUUAUAUGAACUAUAGAUUUUUGAAAUAUCUACUUAAUCCCACAAGGAAAUAGGAAAUUUAACAACAAACACUGAAUAAAGACAUUCCCUCUUCAAAAACUUACCAAAUAAACUGGUCAGAUGAUUUUUUUUUCUUUUUCUAAAAAAAAAAAAGAAACGAAUCUACUUUCAGCGAAAAAGCAGAGUCUUUUGAUAUUCAUACCUGGGAAAUCUAUAGAUAACCCAAAAAGAAAGUUUCAGAUCUCGUAAACAGAGAAAACACAAAUUUCCAGUUUUAUCAAAUAAUUAAAAAAACUCUCAAACUUUCAAGAAAAAAAAAACAGAGGAUUCAGCAGCAGCAUUAUAGCUAUAAGACUAUAGCUUGUAAGGAUUAAACGGAGAAGGAAGAGAAGAUGACAAACCUUGAAAUAGAAAAAGGGUGUAAAUCGGCGAGAGAAAGCACCUGGUAAUACAGAGUACUAAUAAUCAAAAUGAAGCAAUCUUACGGGAAGCAGACAAAUUUUGGUGCGUCUGAUUCCGAAGAUCUUGAAACAUCAGAGAAGGUAGUGUGAUGGAGGGGGGAGAGAGAGAGAGGAAAUGAGAGGUUUACAGAGAGAAUCGAAGAGAUUAACGUGUAAGAAUCACCGUACUUCUCUCAUUGUCAAUUCUCAGGCAGCACAGUACCACACCACUUUGUUGUUUAAUUUGUUUUUAUUAUUAUAGUAAUAAUGAUAGUAAAUGAAUAAAAAUAAUUCUUUUGCAUGCCGUGUUUUGGGGUUUUGACGUGUUCGGAAGAUGAAUUUCAAAGAGACGGUGACAGAGAUUUGUUUUGACCUCUCACCUGUUCAAAUCUUGACUUAGGCAUUGUUUGUUAACCAUCACUUUUCACAAAAAAAAUUAUUUUUUUAAUAUAUUUAGAUUAUUUUUAAUAUAUUAAUAUUAAAAAUAAAUUAAAAAUAAAUUAAAAUAAUACUAUUUUUAUAUAUUUUUAAUAAAAAAAUAUUUUUAAAACAAAUAGACCAUUAUCAUAAUAUCAAAUAUUAUCUAAAUGUUUCUUGUUUAUGCACCAUUUUGGAUUACUAUUGAAUCAUGAUUUUGUAAAUUUUUAAUUUAAAAAAAUAAUUUUUAUUAUUUUAAUAUGUUAAUAUUAAAAUUAAAAAAUAUAUAUAAUAUAUUUUAAACUAAAAGAUAAUGUGAAUCACGAUGAUAAACAUAAACUUAGAUGGUUCGGGAACUUAAUUGUUGGAUUUUGGGGAAAAUAUUUAUUAAUCUCUUUAUUUGACUUUCGUAAUUGAUUUUUACUUUUUUUCAGUUUGUGAAAGUUAAUUUUUAUUUAUUUUUAGUUUGUGCUGGAUGAAUCAUUGUUUUACUACAUAUGGUGCAGGAAGGAAAGAUUUAGAGACUCGGUGAUCUAUUUAUUUAUUUUUAGGGGUAAGUUUAAGAGUUAUGAUAUUUUCAAAAAAAAAAACAAUUGCAUGCCAGUAUUAGAUUUUCUUGUUUAUUCACAUCUCAACAUAUUUUUUUAUAUAUAUAAAACAACUUUAUUCUCUUUUAAAUUUUAGACAUGAAGCAGGGGUGGGCAAAAAAAUCAAAAAACCGAUUGAACCGAAAAAAUCAAACCGUAAACAAAAACCAAUUAAAUUGAUUAGAAUUUUAAAAAAAAACCAACCGGUUCAGUUUAGUUUUUGUUUUAUAAGCCUGAAACCAAAAAAUCAAACUGAAUCUAAACCGAAAAAAACCAAGCCAGAAAACUAAGCCAGACAGGAAAAAAACCAAACAAAACCAAAAAAACAGAGUUAAACCUGAAAAAUCGAGUCAAACAAGUUUUUAUUUUAAAAAACUAAAAAAAAUCAAAACCGGUCGAUUUUAGUUUUUUUAAAAAAAAUAAUUUUUUUAUAAAAAUCAAAUCGAACAAAAAAUAAUCACCAUAAACAUGAAAAAAUAGUCACCCUUGACAUGAAGAAUGCCCCUAGUUUACCCCACACCUCAUAAAGAAUAACAUGAGAAAACUCAUUUUUUAUAUAUUUUUAGAAUGUUAUGUUAUAGAUAAUAAGGUAAAUUACAAAAAACCAUUCUCUGCUAUUAAAAAAUACAUGACCAUCUAAAAGAGCUUAAAGUUUUUACAUAAAAAUCUUCUCCAUGUUUAAAAAAAAGCUACAAAAAUCCUUUUCUAUAUCCCUCUAAUAGUUUUAAAUGAUCCUCUUUAACAAUAAUAAUAAAAAAACAAUUUAGAGCACAAAAGAUAUUUUGGAUAUAAAAUAUUUUUUUGUAAUAUUUUCAAAUAUUUUUAUAGCUUCAUAAUAUUUCAAAAGAGUUAUUGUAAUAUAUCCUAAAUAAUAUAUAAGAAAAAAAAUACCCAACCAAACUUUUUUUUAUUUUAAUAUUAAUUAGAAUGUUUUAAAUUAUUUUACCUAGCAAAAUAAAAGAUUUUUAAAAAUAGAAUAGCAAUUGGCAGAAUAGCUAAAUUUGUUCUUAAAAAAAUAGUGAAAUAACACAAUUUCAACUUGUCAUGUUUUCUAGUCACAAUAUUAAUGGAUGUCACCGUUCUAAAACUCGAUAAUUUAACCUAUCAUGAAAUUAAAUCUUCUCUACUAGUGUUUUGAUAGUCUUUGCGGUUCCAAAACGUGACAUCAAUUUUAAAGUCAUGUUUUUCAAUUAUAACUUCUUUAUACAUCGUUCAAAAUUAACGGGUGAUUCAUUUAUUUUUCAAAAUAAAUGUAACUAACUUGGGUCAUUAUUGAUGAUCCUUUUUGGUGUCAUGAAAUUCAUUUUAACAAAAAAAAUUUAACGGCAUUAAAAGUAUUACAAUUAGAAUUUUGAUAUAUCUCUAUAUUUUUUUCUCUUCUUUUUUUUUUCUGCCCUUUUAAUUUUAUUAUUUAUAUUAUUAUUACUAUUAACGAUAAGUUAUAUAUAUCAUAUUACUCAAUGGGGAUAUAUAUAAAUCAUAAUACUUCACCUAUAUAUAUAUAUAUAUAUGUUAUUUCAGCAAUAUUUUUAAAUAAAUAUGCUAAUAACCAAAAAUAGCAAAAAUCUUUUGACAACAUUAAAAAGUUUCACGUGUGACCAAGUGGCAAAAUUUUGAAACAAUAUAACACAGCCAAUAGAAUAAUAAGGGCUGAUUAUGUUGGGUUUCGUGUGCAAUCUAGUACACUCUUGUCGCUACUAAAGAUUUAUUAUAUAUAAUUCUGGUGGCCCACUUUUUACGAAUUCUUUAAUCUCUAGUAAAAAACAAUUAAAAAAAAAUAGAGACAUAAUUAUCAGAAAAGCAGUGCGCCCGCGCCCGGAUCGAAAACCAGAUAGCUGUGCAGUGGUUAACUUUACUGUUCAGCCACGGUGCUGAAAAUUUGUUAUUGCGAUCAUGUAGUGCUUUUAAAUUUUAUUUUACAUUAUUCUAAUAUAUUAAUAUUAAAAAUAAAAAAAUAUUUUAAUAUAUUUUUAAUUAAAAAAAUUAAUUACCACGUCAAAAUUGUCAAUAACCAUGCUCCUAUGAUGAUGAUUGCUGCUUCACUACCCCUGUUCUCUUUAUUUUAUUUUAUUUUUUUCCUUUAUUCAUAACUUUUUACGUGAUAUAACGACACGGUGUGUAGUAUUGGUAAUAGUUAAUUGCCUGUAAUCAGCCACUAGCCGGAUUAAUUUUUAAAAAAUAUAAAUAAAAACAUCAAAAAUGUGAUGAUUUUUUUUAUAAUAUUAUUAAACUCAAUAAAAUUAAAUUAAUUUUGAAAUCUCUAGAUUUAAUUGUUUUUCUAAAUUUAAUUUUAAAUUAAAUCACGUAAAAGCUAGAUUGAAUUAAAUCAAUUAAUUUCGUAGGUUUAAAUACAAUCUUGAUGACCGAUAAAAAUAUAAUUUAGCUUUUAAAAAAGCUUCAGAAUGAUAAUUUUUAAAAAAACAAAUUGAAAUAAUAAUAGAUUUUAUCGAUCUUGAUGCCCCCACGACCUAGGUCAUGGACUCUAUUGAAUUUAAUAAAUUUUUUUAUUUUUAUAUGAUAAAAAAAUAUAUGCUCACAAAAUUAGGUACCAGUUUAAAAACAAAACACUUAUUUAAGACAAUUAGAACCUUAUAGAAAACAAAUGAAAAUAAACCACGCAGUUUAUUUCUCAACCAAUUCAAUGUUCAAAUACAAAAUUGAGAAAAAAAAAUUAAAAACAAUUAAAGGAUAAAAAUAGCAUAUUUGAUCAGCGAGUAAACUCGUCAAACCUAUGAAUUAGGUAACCCAAGCUAAUACGCCAAACUUGUACAUCGAGUUAUGGACUCCAGUGGGAUUAUAAUUUGUUUUUUUUUAAGUAUAUUUUUUAUUUAAUUAUAUGAAACAAAAAUAAAUGAUCGCAAAAUCAAACAUCAACCCAAUAUUGAGUUUUUUAAAAAACUAUGAUAACCUUAUAAAAAAAUAAAACAAAACUAAUUAUGAAAUUGAAUUCUCAAUUAACCCAAUAUUUAAGGAUAAAAUUGAAAAAAAAAACUAAAAAAAGAAGAAAAAGCUAAACUCGCCAAACCUGUGAAUAUGUCCAUGAAAUUAUAAAGUUUAAUAACAUGGAUUUUCUAUUAAUUUUUUUUAUCAAAUGAGAAAACAAGUAGACGAUUAAGUUCAAUUAAAAAAAAACACCCCACUAAACCCAUAAACCACGGCAACCUGGGUUGCCCAAGAAAAUUCACAAGCCACGCUAAUUUUAUAGAAAGGCAAAGAAAAAAAAAUCACAAAACUAAAUUAUCAAUCAUCCCAAUAUUAAAAGAUGAAUUUAAUGAAAAUAAAUUUGAAAAAAAAACAAAAGAAAAGAAAAGGCAAAACAUUGUGGAUUACCAAGUUCAAUUAUAAAAAGAAAAAAAAACACCCCACUAGACCUAUAAAUCAAGGCAACCUGGAUUAUCCCACAAAGCUUGCAAAUCACGAUAACCUCGCAGAGAUACAAAAUAAAUAAAAAAUAUGAAUUCAAACUCUCAACCACCACAAUAUUAAAAAAUAAAAUCAUUAAAAAAAUUAUAACAAAAAAAAAAAAAACACAAUGGAUUUUUAUUUCAAUCCAUAAUGCACUAGGUAUGGGUGAGAAGUAAUUCCCACACCUAAGUUUGGCACAAAAUGAAAGAAUGACAUCCAAGAUGAAAAAAAAAAAAAGCAAUAUAAACUCGGAAUGAAAGAUGAAAAACAAUAAAACUUUUAUAAAAGGGUAAGUUCAUGUGGAUUUUUUCAAUACAUUUUUUAAAAUAAAAAAUCCUAAAUGUAAAUUGAAAACAUAUUCAUGCAUAUAAUUAAAUAAAUAAAGAACCAAUGUGUAAAGAAAUUAAAAAAAGAAGUCGUUAAAUAAAUAAAGAUAAAAAAAUAAAAAAUAAAAAGAUAAACGUAGAUCAAGAUAUUUAAUAUUAUAAUACAGGUAAUUUACAUGGUUGUAUUUGAUGAAUUUAUUUAUUAAAAUCAAAUUGAAACACUUUAUUGAAUAAAAUAAAAUAAAAAUACUAUGCAAUGUUGUAAACAUUAAAAAAAAUAAAAAUAUAUUUUUUAUUGUUAAAAGUAAGUUCAAUAUAUAUAAAAAAUAAAAAAAUUACAAAUGAAUCAUACUAACAUCUUCGAAAAUUAAGAACAUCUAAUAUAAUAAAAAACUAUUUAAAAAAGGCUAAAAAAAACACAAAGAAGUAUGACAUAAACUUAAAAAUUGUUCAAAAAAGAUAUAUCAAAAAAGUUUUAAAUUAAAAAAAACCAAAACUAUAUAAAAAAAAAAUGAGGUCAGACGCUUGAACAAAGCCAAUGCAGAGGCCUUUAUUUUCUUAUGAGUUAAUGGGGCUGAUGAUAUGUCAUUCACCUCAAUUUUACUUGAAAAAAAAUAGACGACGCAUUGAUUAAAAUCCUUAUAUUCCAGCCACUAUGGUGGCUGGAAAACAGUGUGGUUAAUUUGUUUUAUUUUAAACACUUAUUUUCAACUCAAAAUACCUAGGAAACACCAUAGGAACCUUGUUAAACUGAUCCAUAACCUCUGAAAGCCAAAAAAAAAAACAUUUUAAGAUCUAAAAUCAACCUGAAACAAGAAAUCUUUUUGAACUCAGAUAUAUUGUUUAGGCACUUUCAUUGUAAAAAAAAGCACACAACUUAAACUUCUCUCAUCAUAUGUAACUAUUUGAAACAAAAGGCUAUCGUUCUGGUGGUUGAAAUCGUCACAACAACAAGUUUCUUUCUCUGGGUUGGAAUCCAAUAAUCCUCUCCCUCUCCUUCCACACAAAAAAAGACUAAAAAUGAUGAAAAUGAAGUUUGAUAUCAAAAUAAACAUUUCUAAAAUUAGAGGGAGUGAUCACCUAAUAGCUAAAAUAUAAGGGACUUAAAUGUAUUUUAUAAUUAAAUUUAAAAGUCACCAUCUAUUUUACCCGUGUUUUUCACUUUAGUCCUCUUACUUUCAAUUCAAUUAUCUCUUAAAAAACAUGCAAUUAGGUACUAUUUUGGGCGCACUUGUGCAAAGAAAAAAAUAUUAAGGUUCAAAUUUAAAAUUUUAGAAAAAAAUCAUUGCUCCAAUCGACGAUGAUUUGUGAGAUUAUGAAUAUUAAUUUCACCUACAAUAUUUUUUGCACAAGGCUUAGUUCAUGUUAAUAACUUUGUGAGCGUUUGGGAAUUCAAUAGCUUCUGUUUUGAGGUAUAUUUUAAGAAUAUGUUUCUUUUUAAAAAGCAUCAAAUUGAUUUUUUUUAAGUGCUUUUUGAUGAUUUUGAUGUAUUUAUAUAUAUAUAAAUUAUUUUAAUGUAUUUUCAAGAAAAAAAAUAUCAUUUACCAUAAUACCAAAUACAGUUGUAGUCUUAAAUUGUAAGGAAAAUUCUAAUAUUUGUUUAAAAGUUUGUGUGAUUCAAUAGUUUGGUGAAAAAAAAAAACUUCAAUGCUUUAUAUAGAGGUUAAAAUUGACUUAAUCAAAAGAAAUUAAAAUCUAAGGAAAAAAGUAAUUAAAAUAAAAACAUCAACUACAAGUAUUUCAAACAGUAAAAAUAACAUAUUCUAGCCGUAAUAUGAAAUUAUUUUGAAUCUCAACUGAUUAUAGUAUAUUAGCUUCUAUACAAAACCAGAUCUUUAAAAUUAUUUGGUGAAACUCUGACCUUAUCAAACCAUCAAAUUUAAAAUUAUGGUUGUUUUUAUUAUACUGCACAUUAAAAGUGUUGGAUUUCUUCGUGGUUUCUCUGAAUAAGCUAAGCUAGAAACUGGUAUUCAGUGGAUAACGAAAUAUAAAAUCUGAAAUAGAGCUGGAAACCAGAAAAUAAAAAGAAAAAUAAUAAAAUUAGUUCAAAUAAUAUUUUUUUAGGUCUAAUUUAAAAGUCUUCCAUAGCUAAAGCGGCCACAAACAAUAAGUUUUCAUAUAAAUAAAUUUAUAAAAUCAUCUAAUGAAAUUUAAUUUAAGUCAAAUCUAAUUAACAAAUAAAAAGUUAUACUUUUUUUUACAUGUUAUUAAUUUAGCACAAACAGAUUUUUUUAGCUGAAUUUUAUAUUCGCAGAUUCUCAACUAAUUAAUUGAUUAAUUAAUAUAUAUAUAUGUUAAUAAUUUCAGACUUUAUUUAAUUUACAAAAUUAUUACCGAUAAUUAUAAUUACAAUGAGAAAAGUUUGUUAUUACACAACAAUGGUAAAAUUAUAAAUUUAAAUCCUACUAAAAUAAUUAAUAUUCCUAAAUCAUAUGAGACUAGUGUAUAAGCUCGUGUUACAUUACUGGUCAAAUAAAAAAAUAAAUAUAAUAAAAGUUAACUCAACAUAACCCAAUUAAUUUAACUAAUAAAAAAUUAACCUGGAUGGAUGUUAAAAAACAAUUACUGGUAAAAUAAAAAAAUAAAAAAAAGAAGGAAUAAAAGGAAAAACAGUUGACUUGAUUGGUUAAAAAAUAAUUCAAAUAAUUAUUGAAAAAAUAAAAUAAAACAAAAAUAAAGGUGGGAAAAAAAGGGAGUGAAUUGGAGGGGGAGGGGGGGGUUCAUUAUUUUUUUAGUGAAGCUUUACAAAUGAUCCCAGCUUGUUUAGAAAAAAGGUAAUAAAACCAAGCCCAGCAGCAGGGAAUUAUGGAGUUUUACAGGUGAAUUAGCGCUCAACAAUUAUAAUUAAAAUUUAGCUUGGCUUUUUCUUGAUUAGUUCUUAUUGUUUAUUGAGGUGUCUAAUUCGAUCCAAAAGGCAUAAAUCUUACAAUUUAAUCCAAUCAUUUACAGUAAAAAAAUAAGAAACACUUAUUUUGAAUAUAAACAAUAUCUUUAACUCGGCUGAGUAUAUAUGCGUGUGGUUUCCCUCAGUCGCGUCCCUCGAUAAUGCUUAUAAAAUUGAAGAUCCCAUGAUUGAAACUUUGCAUGCACGUUUGACAAAAACACAAGUCUUCCACCCACCGAAUUCUCCCGCCAAUACAAGCUUCCCUGAUGACCUAACUUCACCUACCAUUAAUGUGAGUCAUGUUCUUGGUUUUAUCUAUUUUUUAUUUUAAAAACAUUAAAUUGAUGGUUUUUUAAGUGUUUUAUUUAUAGUUUUGAUGUAUUAAUAUAAAAAAUAUUAUAUUAAUUUAUUUUUAAUUAAAAAUAUUUUGCAAAACCAUCAUGUUUUGCAUUACCAAUCUUAAAGACUUGUUUUGGAGUAUAGUUAUGGUUAAUUUUUAAAAUAUUUUUUAUUUUAAAAUAUAACAAAAUAAUAUUUUUUUAUUUUUUAAAAAUUAAUUUUAAAAUCACCACAUUAAAACGAUUCAAAAUAUAAAAAUAUUUUUUAACAAAAAAAUAUAAUUAUUUUUUUUAGAACUCGCCUUUUUAAAAGCUUUGUUUUUCGUGCAAAACAACUUUUGACCCGCCCGCCCACUUCUAACCUUCCCCAGCUACUGCAAGAAAAACGUUGUGCAAAUCAAGAAUUUGAUCGAUAAUAUCAAUAGGGAACAUCCCUUCCUUGGUAGAAAUUGUUAGGAUAUUUAAACAAUGUGAGGCUUUAUCUUAUUAAUAUAUUAUUGAUAGAGCCAUGCCCUUUUUAUAAUUUAAUAGUUAUGAUUUAACCUUUCUAUGCAUAUCUUAAGGCAAAUCCGUAACACUUGCAUUUUUUAAUAACUCUUGUUGUUUAACUUGGCUUUAAAAUCAUCUGUUCGUCAAUGUCAUCACCAUGAAAGCCUUCCCAUUUAUUGGAUAUAUGUCACCAUUAAGCAUUUAUUUGUAGAAGUUGAAGAAACACCAAUUUAAUUAUGAAAAAUUGUUUUUUUAAAAAACUUUACUUGAAAAUACAUUAAAAAAAUAUAGUUUUUAAUUUAUUUUUGAAAUUUACACAUCAAAAUGAUAAAAAAAUAAUUAUUUUACUAUUCAAUUUAAUUACAAUUACAUCUCUAGGAAAUGUUUUAGAAUAUGGUAGAAAUUAUUUUUUAAAGAAUUUUUUAUUAAAAAUACAUUACAAUAAUAUUUUAAAUUUAUUUUUGAUAGCUGCACAUCUAAAUAAUUAAAAAUAAUAAUAAAAAAAUAUUAAUUUAAAAUUAUAAUAAAUUCAAAAACACAAUUGUAUCACAAUACUAAUGGUAUCAAAUACUGCCAGCAAGCCGGCAUCCUUCAUGGCUAUUUUUCAGAUCAUCAAAAUAUGGUUCCACGUAAUUUACCCUCCUUCCCUUGGUAUAUUAUUGUUAAUUAAGACUAAUCUUAAUAAUCCCUUAAUCUCAAUAAUUACUUCAUAGAAAAUCUAAUGUUUUUUUUUUUUGUAUAUAAAAUAGCUUCCUUUAAUUAAAGAAAAGUUACAUCUCAGUUUAAAAUCCAUGACUAUUGUAUAUAAUUAUAUGUAUACAAUAGUCUGAAAAGAAUUAUGGAGUGAUUUUUAUAUCUUAAUAUAUUUUUUUAGCUUCCUAACCUUAAAUUUCUAACUCCUUUAAUGAAAAAAAUAGUUGUAUAAAAUUUAAAAGGGUAUAAUUCAAAUGAUCAGGUUUUGAGUUUGUUUUUUAAAAAUUACUAAUUUAAAUAUCAUAAAUCUCACAACUAUUAAAAAUUUAUUUAAUUAUUAAUUUUAAAAUUUUAAAAAAUUAUUCAAGAUACAUGUGAAUUAACAGAACACCUACCGUUAUAUAUAUAAAGUAAUCGUAUAAAAUAAGGGAAGUGGAGGAUAUGGAUUCCUGAUCUCGUGAAGGCGAAAGCUGUGCUCUCCCACCACUUAAACCAAGAGCUUUAAAAUUAAUAAUUUUACUCAAAAUGCAUGUUGUGUCAUGGCUUUAUCCAGAUUUGUGACAGAUCCUUCCCAUCUUGAUUUGCUUAUUACGUGCAAGAAAUCAAAAGUGCCUUUUUAAUUCUAAUAGUAGAUUUUCUAUAUAUAUUUAAAUAUAUUGCUCUCGUUAGUGAAUUUCAAGAAUUUAACAGGUAUGGUUUCGAAUAGAAAUUGUUAGCAUAUUGCUUUGAUAAAACAAAAAUUAAGGAUCUAUAUAGUAUUUACUCUGGAUUCAAUUUUCAAAACCAUGAUCUAAUACACCAUCAAGUUUAAAAAAGUAAGCAGAUCCCAACUUAUUUUUAUUAAAACCGUAUUAUUAUUUAUAAUUUGCAUGCAAACUCAACCAUAAUAACAAAGAUAGAGUUCAUACGACCUGAAAGGUGUUGCGAAUAUGUUAAUGAAUCAAAGGCAAAGCAGAACUGCAAAUCUCUUAAAAAAUACAUGAGAUCAAAGAUAAUUAUUGAAAAAUAAACAAAAAAAACAGGAUUCUUUUUGUCAUGUAGUAAUUAAUUAGAUCAUGACUUACUCUGUCGAAUAGUGUACAUCAUGCAUCAGCAUAGCAAAUAGGCUAUGAAAAUCUUGUAUACAUCAACCUCGUCAAGGAACCCAGGUGGUUCCCAUGCCUGUUCUUGAUACAAACGCCAAAGAUUUCAAGAUGGCAGCUUGGAUUUGUUAUAAAAGAAUCGUUUUAAUUUAAUAAUUUAAAUUUUUAAGGAAAAUUUUAAUAUAUAAUUUAUAUUAUUUUUUAAUAUAAUUUAUUAAGUGAAAAUUUUUUAAGUUUAAAAUUUAUAUAUAUUUAUGUUAUUUUGUAUUUAUUUUUUAUCAAAUAAAUAAAAAAUAAUAAGAUUUUAAGUUGUGACUGCUUGAUCAUCAAGAUUUUAAUAUCAUAUUAAAAAAUUAUUUUAAACUCAAUAAUUUAAAUUAUUAAAUAAAAUUUAUAUUUUUUAAUAUUUAUCAGAAUUUUAGGAAUAUAUAUCAGCUAGCUUGAUGUCACACAAGUUGGUCAUCUAUCUAUUUCACAGUCUAUUCUUAAUUUUCAUCUUCCUUGACGCUUCAUUUUCAUCUACUUGGAUACAAUCAUUUAUUCCUUGCAUUGCACGCUCAUCAUUUAUUUAUUUUUGUUUCAUUUAAUAAUAAAAUUAUCUUGUGUGUUAAUUAAAAUCAAAACUUUUCUUCAAAAAAUCUCAAAUUAAUACUUAAUUCUCGUUAGUUUGAUCAUUUAUAGAAUAUAAACUUGAGUUAAGAAAAUCAAUGAAUAGAACGCACCUCAUCAACCAUGAAAUCAAUCUCUUAAAAGUUUGGGGGCUUGCUUUUAUAGCUUGGAAUGGCAUGACUGAUUUUUAUGUCCUGGAAUGGAUAAGACUGAUAUUUGUAUUUAUACACUCAGUAUAGGUAUAGAAUAUAUUUUUGGUAAAGAGAUUUGGAGAAUAUUUGUUUCUGUAUUUUAAAAGUAUUUUUAAAAAAAUUUUAAUUUUUUUUUAUUAACUUCAAAUUAAUAUAUUUUUAAUGUUUUCAAUUUAUUUUGACAUAUUGAUGUCAAAAAUAAUUUUUAUAAAAUAAAAAAAAUCAUUAACAUGAAUUUUAAUAUGAAAAUUAUUUGAAAAGUAACUGUAAUUAUAUUGUCAAACAAAUUUAUAAUUUGAACGGGAGUUAGCCGCUGAGCCCAUUCUAGCCUCGCAUGGCGGCCCCCAUCCCAUGGUUGUGAGCUGGACCUGCCAUAGCUUAUGGUAUUAUUAAUAUAAAAAAUAAUACUAUCCUUGCAUGAAAAAAACUUGUUUGUAUGAAACAAAUAUAUUUGUAAUUACAAGAAAUUUUAAUAAAUAAAUAAAAUAAUAUGUAAAGAUAAAAUUAAAUAUAUCAAGUUAAUAUUAUGGAGCUGAAAUUUCAACCAUGGGGGUUGGGAUUUUGAGCUGAAAGCUCAAAUGGCUAGAAAAAUUCCAAUUGUUCGGGCAUGCACGGAUGGUUGGAAGGCUAACCAUUUAAGCUUGGCCACAUAACUAGAAAAUUAUUAUUGUUUUAAAUACAUGUUUCAUUUAAAAAAAUAUUAAUUUAAUAUAUUUUUUACUAUUUAUUUAUUUAUGAUUCUAAUUUGUUAAUAUAAAAAUUAUUUUUAUAUAUUUUCAAUUAAAAAUAUUUUUAAAAAUCAUCUUCCGUUAAAGUUACAAACACAAACUUAAUAUCUAAUUAGAGCUUCUUAACAUAGAUUUAGAAUUGUGUCACGCUUAAUAAGAGUGUAAUAAUAAUUAUUUUUUAAAGUAUUUUUAGCUUAAAAAUAUAUUGAAAUAAUAUAUAUAUAUAUUUUAAAAAAUAAUUUUCAACUUCAAUACACCAAAAUAAUAAAAAAACAUAAGAAAAAAUAAUUUUAAAAACAAAAAUUUAAAUUCUUAAAAAAUAAAAUUUCGACGGCCUUUCCAAUCAUACUACCCGUUGAAUGAGUCCUAAAAAUAUUGGCAUAAUUACCUCUCAACAUCACAAUUUUGUAAAGCUAAGAUACCGAGAAGAUCACGCCACCAUAAGUAUCAAUGUCGAGGAAGGUUUUUCCUUAGACGAGAAAGACUUCUGUCAGGGGAAGAAGACAAAGAACAGCUAGCUUGAAAAGUAAGUGGCUGCCGUAUGGUGGCGGGUGGUGGUUAUAUUUUUGUCAGAGAGACAACCGAUAAGGUCAAUAAUCUACAUGCUCGUGAAGAAAUGCAUGUUUCCUUCAAAAUCCUGCAUCUUUAUCAACCUUCAUAUAUAGACAUUUUCACUCCUUGACAUGGCUGUCCGAGGAUGUUUGAGAAUGUAGUAGUUGUUACUUUUCAAAUAGUUUUUCGUGACGAAAAGUAUGUCAAUAAUAUUUUUUUAUUUUUUAAAAAUUAUUUUUGAUAUUAGUAUAUCAAAACGAUCCAGAAAGUACAAACUAAAUUUAAUUUUAAUAAUAAUAAAAAAAUUGAAAUUGUGCAAAAAAACAGGUUGCAGUGCAAAACAGUCACUAAAACCUAGUACUUUUAAGCAUUUGAUUGUCAGGCUGUGCACGUGGCCAGUUUCUAGUUUCUGAUGCUGUAAAUGUGAAGAAACUUCGGUAAGUUGGCAUCCACAUUUACAGACAUUCCCUUUUGUCAAGCCAUGACGUUUGCUAAAUUGUUGGGAAAUUAAAUGCCAAUUGGAUACAACUUUUAGGGUUGGAAAAUGAUUUGUGAUUUUUAUUAUGAAUUUUGUUUGGAAAUAUAUUAAAAUAAUAUAUAUUUUUUAUUUUUUUAAAAUUAUUUUUAACAUUGCACUUUAAGAUGAUAUUAAAAUACCAAAACAAAUUAAUUCAAAGUAAAAAAACUUAUUUUUUAAAAUACAAAAUUAAACGGUAUUAGGAAUCUUCUCCCUUUCCUUUCCAGGGCAAGGACACAAGUGGCCACCCUCGACUGGUUAAGCCCAACUAAAAAUGGAAUAGCUUUAGGGCUAGUCAUUCCAAUGAGGCCUAAAGGUUCUCUAGGAUCCGUUUCACAUUUGUCGGUUUUCUUUAGAUUUUAAUCAAAGCUUAAGGAGAAGCCCAGCUUCACUUUUGAUAUACUGGACUUUCGAGUGGGCCUACAAGGUAGUCCAGUUUCACAUGAGUUAUCUCGAUUGUGGCCCUACAUUUGGUGAUUUGUAGGCCCCAAUAGACCUCUCACUCCAAACAUCUAGGCCAUUGACAAGGGAGGAGGCCAACCUACGAAAAAUACUGGGCCGGGUUACUAUGGCAAAAUCCAUUUCUAGCAUACUGUGGUUUUCGCAUUCCACAGGCACUGUUUCAUUUCUUUUUUAUUGUUAUACUAUAUAGUAGCAGAACAUAUGAGGCUGUGUUACGUUGUGAGCACAUUUUUAUAGAAAUUGAAAAUUUUGAGAUUCGGGUCUUUGAUUGGGUUUAAUAAACUCGAUUACUUUAAAAAUAUAAUGAAAAAAAACAUAAAUAGUAAAUAAAGUGGAAAAAAAGCAAUGAUUAACCAUAAAAAAUAAAUUGUUAAUAUCAUAUUUCUUUGUGGACACUUCCUCACCAUCAAAAAGAAUUCAUUAAGAAUAUUCUAACAUUAUUGUAAAAAGCUACACGACAAUAUCGAAAGAGCCUACCCAAGCGCAUUGAUCUAAAAAGUAAACCAAAUAAAAUAUCUUGAAAUGAGUAUCUCAUUGUUAAAUUUAAUUCAAAGAUAAAAUUUCUUUUUUAAAAAGCUAAAUUUAACAAAGAACAGCAAAUAAAAAGACUUACGAUAAACCUAGGUCAUUUUUAAAAUUAAUGAGAAACCCAAUAGAAAGAAAAUAAAAAUAAUAAUAGUGUGCGAUCUCCGAUUAAAUAAAUUCUAAAGAAUAAAAUUAAAACAAAACAUGAGCUUAAAAAGAAAAAGAAAAAAAAAGAAGCAAAUUCAGGAAAAUAAUUUAAAUUUAAAUUAAUCUUUCAAACUCGUAACUUGCAUUCAGGCUCAAUCAAUAAGCUCAGUUCUCAAUCAAUUUAACGCUGAAGAAUAAAACCAGAAAAAAAGAGUUAAUUUUUAAAAAAUAGUCAAAGUAAAGAAAAAUUGAAGGAUGAGUAUUAUAAAACAAAUUUAGUUAAAAUAAUUAUCUCAAUAAAAUAAAUAGCAAUUAAAAAAAAUAAGGACUAGAUCUGAUAUAUAUAAAAACUAAAGGUGGAUGAAAUAAAAAAAAUAAUUUAAUUUUAUAAAUUAUUUUAAAUAAAAUAAAUAGUAAUUAAAUAAACAUGAACCAAAUUAAAAGAAAAUUAAAUUGAAAUAUUGCUUUAAAAAGUUAGAGUAGCAUGUGUGAAAAUCAAGAAGUACAAAAAAGACCAGUAGUGCCAAAUAGAAGGUCUUUUGACCACAUGUUCUGCCCAAAAAAGAAGAGGUUGCUGAAACGAUUUCAUCAUCGCCUUAAAAGCUAGUGUGUGGCUAUCAAAUAUCGCCGUGCAUGGUCUGAAGAGCGCACGAACAACACAAGACUAACAUAUGCAGUUUUUUUUUUUUUUUUUUAAUAAUAUUUAUGUUUAUUAAAUUAUUAAAUUGCCCAUUAUUUAACUUGUAAAAAAAAAAAGAACCAUGAUGAAAAUGUGAAAAAACUGGUGGAUGCAAGUUCCAUAAAUUUUAUUUUUAAAGAUAUUUUAGUUAUUUUAUUAUUUUUAAAAAAUUAAAAAUACAAAACCCACCCGAGUUAAUUAAAUCUUGCAAGUAAGGAUAAUUAAAUGAUUUUACUGUAAAAAAAGAAGAAGAAGAAGAAAAAGAGAGUAAAUCACGCUAGCAUCCUACACUGCAUCGUUGCUCGAACUUCUGGAUUGAUCAUCAAUACUAGUUGGGUUAUCUUUGCUGCGAGAAGCUGACAAAACAUCAGCUGAACCCAAAAACUCACUUUCUCCAGCACUUCAUUCCUUUCUCUUCCCUCUCCUCCCUUUUAAACUAACUCCACGUCCUGCGAAUAUGUUGUCUGACAACUUCCAUAAGCUCGGCAUUUUCUUCUCUCCAUGGAACACUAGAACUUCUGGCUUAAUCUCUAUCUCUGCAGCUGGAAAAGAAGCUGGAACUCGACAUUCAGGUUUCCAAUUUGUUCUGAUAUCCAGAGUAAAACAUUCAGCAGAUAAUCCAUACUCAGGUGUCUCUUUACUAGAUGAUUCAAUUCCAUCACAUCUCUGAAAUGGUACUGGCGAUUUGUCUGGCUGGAGUCAUAGCUGACAUGACAAUCCUCCCUUCUCUUAGCCCUGAGAAUCUCAAGUUUCGAUUCCAGUGACCAGGAACAUAACAGUUAAGGAAUCUCUACAAAUAAUACGUGAACGCAGACUGCAAUAUACCCACAGGAAAACGCAUCUGAAAACGACCCGUGAAAUCUUACCAUGUCGUCAUAGAACAAAAUAAAAUGAGCAUCAAGCAUGUUCAUGAUGAGAGUUAUGUGUUUAUGCCUUCCUAUUAACACCAAAUUUCCACGAAUCACAUACUGAAGCUCUCUAAAUUACCAGGUGUAUCUCCAAUAAAUCCAGCUCUUAACAACUAAUACCAGGCGUACAUCACUAAUGUACAACCAUCUAAACAUCAAAGAGCAAGCUCUUACGUUCAUGAUUUCAUGCUUUGGCCACAAGACUCCAAAGUGCAAGUUCUUACGAUGCUCCAAAAAAAUGUUCACUCAUGAAAGCUUAUGCCAAUCCUUCUAGCAUGAUAUUGACAGUAAAAAUGCAGGGGAAGAUGUAUAACACAGUUCUUGGACUACCAUGUUUUAUUUUAGGACAAUGAUAGAGAGCAGUUUUCUUAACAUGGAUUUAUAAGUUAAAAAAGUCUGAAACAAAACAGCAGACAUUUCACAUACCCAAUUGAGCCUUCAGAUUGUUCUAAAGCUCGCCUUAACUCUGCAAUUCUUUGAUUUCGCAGCUCUUCAAACCAAGCUCUGAGGAAUACAUGACAUGGAGUAAACAAUGUACCGCUUGUUUCAGGAAUUUAACAACGAAAAUAUAAUUGCGAAAGAACAUGCGCAAAUAAAUUUGAUCCAAAUCUUCAAUUCAAAGCAUGUGUUAGAUAAACUAGAAUUGGACAGUCCGGUAAAAAAUUUAUGCUUUUCAUUGAAUAUAACAAAUGGAGUAUACAUAUGAAUUGGCACUAAUUACAUUCAUUUGCACAAAAGAACACAUAUAGUACUGCCUAGAGGCGAAGAAUUACAAAGUGAAAUUUCCUGCGUGGUUCAGAAAGGACCAUGGUUGGAAAGAAGAGAUAAUUCGUCGUCGGCUGUAAUAGUUUCAGGUAAAGCUACUGCUCUGAUGUUUGCCUCACAAAACUCUCAAGCUGUAGGAUGCCGUCGGUAGUAGUAGUUGUAAGAACCAAUAUGACGGCAAGCAGCAGGGAGCGCCAAAACAAAAUUGCGAGAUUGACAAAACCACGUGCAAGGGGUAUCAGUUGGGCCUCUCUUUCAACAUUUUCUGAUGAAAUUGAUUUAGAUGGCACCAUUUGCUAUGACUGUUGAAGGACUAGAUUCAAUUCCAGAGCACUUUUUGUCAAUAAACCACCCCUCCUGUGCAAAAUGGACAGAGAUAACAUCAGUGACUAGGAAAACCAUUUAGCAUUCAGAUACAUGGGAAUCUAUAAAAAAAAAAGCCACGACGGAUAGAUGGAGCAGGAUCAAGAAAUUCCUGCAAAGAAAAGGACUUCUGUUUCUGUGAUAAAGCCAACAGGGUUUGCAGCUCUUUAGCAUGGAAUCCUUUUCCAUGUGCAGUGUUGGUUUAAGUUGACUGCGCAAUCAUAGCUAGAACAUAGAGAAAAUGGGGCAGGAGCGGUACUCGAGUCAAGAUAGAAUGCUUGCCUUGCUAGUGCUGGAAGAAUUUGCUGGAUCUUUUGCAGCUGAGCAAAGCAUUUGUUGCAGCAUUCUCGCCUGCACAUUAUCCAAUAAAAGUGAGUGUGCUGAAUCACACAACUUAGAUUAACAGAGCAUUGCAGUAACAGAAAAGUGUCAAGUCCAUGUAAAUAUUGACUAGUAACACCUUUGGUCUGCAUGAAGAUCAACACCAACAACUGGAGGUGCGGAAACAGCUGAUUGUAUUACCGGGCCAAAAACCGCUACAAGCUUCAGUAGCAUCUCCAAUGAGAUAUUUGCAUGCCUGUAAAUUAACAUUUUAAGUCAAAUAUCUUCAAGAGUUUUCUUUGAGUUCCAGAUUUAGUGCCAGUUUUGAGACAGUUACAUUUCCCUCUGUGGGAGUACAUGGUCCCUCGAUGAGAAUUAUUCAUAAUUUGAUGAUGGUCUGGCACUAAAUCAUAUACUCUAACCUACCUUAAAACCUUAACCAAUUUCACACGCUAAAAACUAUGCAAUUGUUCUCUUCCAAGUGGACUCCAGGGACCGCUUAUUUAUAACUUAAAAAGGAAGAAAAUAGUUCUUCAAUAGUAGAAGUAACAUAUUGAGUUUGUUCAUAUUGAAGCUCUAGUUAUGUAGCACACCAGAUACCAUAGCUGUUUUUGUACAAGUUAAAUUAAGUCAUACUUUGCCACUUCUAAAGACAAAACUGGAUGGUAUUUGUAAAGGACUGCAGUAAAAUGGUAUAAAGUCCCAAAGACCAUAUCUAGCAUUAAAAGUAUUCUUACUAUAUGCCCCUGAAAGCUACCUUUCCAUCUUGCUGUCUAGUAAGCCCACAAGCACAGGAAGCAAGCAAGAAAAUAAAUCUAAAUUGAGAAUCUCCAUUUUGUCCAUGAAAACACUGAUCACAUCUGCUUGCACCUGCAACAAGAUUAAAUAAUAUCAAUGUGCAAGAUAUACAGCCUUGCAGACUGUCAUUAUCAACACAAAAAUCAAAUGGCAUGAACCAUUCCCAUAAAUACCCACAGAAUAAUCUGGCAGUUUCCUCAAGGCAUUGACAGCACCUUUAAUGUCACUUCGUUCCCAAAAAUGUCGAAUCACCUGCAAAAUAACAUCAGAGCUACUAUUUUAGCGACUUUGCCUCUCCCCAUCCCACCCAAAGGAAAAGAACAAGAAGAAAAACAUAGGUGCCAGAAAGGAACGUUUUGCCAUAAUGAAGAUGCUGAAAUAAAACAUGCAGAAAACUUAGUCAAUCACUAGAAUAGGCACAUAGAUCUUUUGUCAGAAGUAGGAUUAUCAUAUUUUACAGUGCAAUAAAUCUUUAGAAUAGUCAAUAUGUCAUGCUUCUAGAAGUCAUCUUCGAUUGAAAAAAUCCACCACUUGAGCACACCCAUAGGCACAAGUAACUCAACAUACCUGUAGCUUUGUCAAGCGAGAUUUAAGGGUAUUUAGGAAUACAUCAUGACUUUGCAUCAGAUCUUCAAUAACAUCCUUAUAAUUAGCAGAAGUCGAGUCCCUACCAGAAAUUUGAGGCUCUUCAUUCUGUCAUCAGCAAAAGAGACAGAAACUGAGUGUGAUUCGUGGAAUGUGAAUAAUACAGGCACAUAUGAAUUCAUUUGACUGAGUUUGUAAGCAUCAGGAUCUUAUGAGCAUUGGUUCAGCCUCUCAGCUGAUAAUUUUAGAAAGAUUCCCACAGAAAAAAAGACACUAUUCAAAAAGAAAUUUUCUUUAAAUUGUGUUUGCCAUGUAAAAAAAUUUUCAAGGAGACAAAACUGAAAUUUUAUUAUUAGGUUUUCUAAUUAGAACCAAGAGUUUGGUAACAGAAGGCAUUUUUUUCUACAUUUAGUACUAAGGUAGCCCAAUCACAAAUAGAUGAACUACAAAAAUUAAAUCCAUGCAGCAAGCGCUGCGGCCAACAGUGCUGCUAACACUUGGCAAGUUUUUCUGUAUCUAGUACAGAGGUGGAAAAUACAACCAAGUCUCAAAUGAUUUUCUUCAAUAUCAUUUCAGAGAUCCGAUGCUUCAAGUCAUCUCAGGUUAGUGCUUGAGAGGUUGGCUGGGAAAUAUAAGAUGUUACCUGAUUCAAAUGUCCAUGGCAACAUCUAUAGCGACAGAUCUUUAUAUUUUUUUUAUCUCAUGCCUAAUUCAAGAUAGUAACUUGAUUGUAAUCAUACCUGAUUCCUUGCAACAUUUAUCUAUCCAUUUCAAGUUGAAACUUCAGAGAUUCUUAUAUAUUUAGCAGGAUCUUAUGUUAUACAGACCAUAAGAACAUCAAACCAAUUGUAAAUCCACUUAUAUUUGAACCAUGAAAAAUCUUCCUACUAAGGAGGCAAAGAUCUUACCAGAUUGGGGGGUGCUCUAUCCAUUUCACAUUCGAUGUGAGGGGUAAAAUUAGUAGUCAUGGAAGGUAUUCUAUCCACUUCAGGUAUAACAGGCGUGGUAGUAUUAGUGGGAAUAGGGGGUGUUCUAUUCCUUUCAGAAAUAACACGAGGGGUGAUAACAGCUGCUACUGAGGGAGUUCGCGUGGCAGUGUUUGUAGGAAGGGGUGUUCUAUCCCUUUCAGGUACAACACGAGGGGUGAAAAUAGUUGCUACUGGGGGAGUCCGAUCAGUUGCAGGUAUAGCACGAGAGGUCAUACGGGCUGCUACAGGGGGUGUUCUAUCUGUUUGUGAUACAACACGUGACAUCAUAUUAGUUGAUAUAGAGGGUUUUCUAUCUGUUUCAGGUAUAACACGAGGGGUUGAUUUAGUUGCUACGGUGGUUGUUCUAUCCUUCUCAGGUAAGGCAAUAGAAAUCCUUUUUGUUGCUGCGGAGGCUGUAUUAUCUGUUUCAGGUACAAAACAAGGGUUCAUUUUAGGUGCUAUUGUGGCAGUUCUGUCUGUUUCAGGGACAAUGAGAGGAGUAAUAUUUGAUGUAACAGGUGUUCUAUCUGUUUCAGAAAUGACAGGAGGGGUCGUAUUUGUUUCUGUGGUGGAGGUCCUGUUUGAUUCUGGCACAGCUUGAUGACUUGUGUUUAAUUCUUGAUCUUCGCUACUUAAUUUCUCCCUUCUUUCAAACCUCUCAACAAGACUACGUGUCCUGCCCGAUACCACUGCAACUGCCAGAAUGAAAAUAUUUGAAAAAAAAAAAAAUCAAUUUCCAUCCAUUUUGCAUAUGCUUGAAAUCAAACACAUGACAAGCACUGACAAACCUCCAUUGACAAUCUUAACAGGGGCAAUCUCUUUACUGCUUUUAACAGAUCCGUCACCUGAAACAUACACAAAUUGUUGUUACCUGCUAAUAAAAAGAUAUAUCACAAAUCAUCAACCAAAAAGAUAAAACCAUGAGUGAAUAUGAUUCACACAUCUACAUUUCAAAAAGAUAAACAAUAUUCAUUUAUUUGACUUCAGGAAGUCAACAAAAUGUAUAUGUAAAACUUAUCAAAGCAUCGGAUAAAAGCUAAUGUGGGGUUUUGAAGGGCAAGCAACACAGAGAAUGGGAGAAGAGGAACUUGGGCAUGGGAAGAAAGCUGUGCUCCACUGAGUAGCCAAUUGGCCCCAGUGGUUUUCUAAUAGACCAGAAUGACAAUGCUGUAAUAUAUAUCAACCCAAAGGCUGUGUGGUGGUGAUAAGAUUCUGAAUAAUAUCUUUGAUCAUAAAUGGUGCAAUAAAGAGCACUGGCAAACAUUGCCAAAUAUGAUUGAAAAAAUGGAAACUUUAUAAGCUAGUCACAGAUAGUAAUACUAAGGGAGCGUCUGGAAACACGGGCCGACCCGCGUUUCCAAAAAAUUCAAAAAUUUUUUUUUGGUGAAAAAUUAAUUUUUUGUAUGUUUUGGAUUGUUCUAAUGCGCUAAUCUCACAAAUAAUUAAAAUAAAAAUAAAAAUACAUCAUUUUGAUGCAUUUCAGCAUGAAAAGCACUUUGAAAAGCAACCAUAACCAACACUCCCAAACAGGCCCUUAGUCAUUCAAAUAGAUGGCAGUCAAACAAUAUCUUCAUAAAGUCAGCAUGGCUAAGAAUGAGAAGAAGGUAUCGAGGUAGAUGGCCAGAUGAGAUCCCACAUGAUCAGAAAUGAAAUGCAGCUUUGACAAAUUAAAGAUUUGGCAAAAAUCACAGGACAAGGGACAUCUCAUAAAGAAGUGAGAUUAAGGGUAGCAAAACAGGUGGCUCGGGCUUUAUGGAAAAGGCAGUGAGAGAGUAGAGUAGAUAAGACAUCAGUCCAUCUCGCCAACCCAAAUUGUUGGGAAAAGUGACUGACAAGUAAAAUGCAGUUCAAGAACACAUGGAAAAAGGCUUACUCAGGAAAUACCCAGGGGAAAAGAACAUGGAAGAUAGAGAUAUCAGAAGAACGAAUUGUGAGAAAGUAAAGAGCUUAAUAGUAAAAAAAAAGAAAAAAAGAUACUCUUAUAAAAGCAAGAACUUACAGUUUCCCUGAUUAGGUGUUUCUGGUGAUAAAACUUUUUCAAACUUCUCUGUGACACCCUUAAUACUGGGGCUUUUCUUCUCACGGGAUUUUUGAGCUCCAUCUUCUGUUACAAUCUGGGAUUGCAAGCUGGGAUCUCUUGCACUUCCUUUCUCACUUGUAACACUGCUAAAAUUUCCAGAUUCAAGAGCCACUGGCAUCUUGUCAACAUCAUUCUUGCUAUUUGAUGGCCUCCGCACAUGAGCUGGUCUGAGCAACAUACCAGGUUUGGUCUUUGUAAACAUGAUAGUUUCCUUUCCAGAAUUAGAAGAAUCUUUUUCAACAGGAAUGUCCCGAGGUACAAUGGUAGGGACAAUGAAAGAUUUGUUAAAAGCUUGUUCACUCAAAUUUGCAUUCAUUCCCAUUAAAGAGCUCUGCUUCUUGGUUAGAGGAGCACUCAUUUCCUUGGAAUCCAGUGAGAGGACUUCUUUUGAUGAAUUCAGGGAACCAGCUCUUUGUAAAGUAACAGGAUUUCCACCAGUAGCUUUACAUGAAAGAAGGAAAAGCACAUUAGAGAGAACGUAGAUUGUAGACAGUAGGGAUGCACCAUGCAUGCCUAGAAGACAGCAUGUGCUGAUUAUUAAUGGAAAUUACAAUCACACUCCAUGGUGCUAGACGACACCAUGCAUUCUAGACAUGCAUGCCUAGACGACAGCAUGUGCUGAUUAUUAAUGGAAAUUACAAUCACACUCCAUGGUGCUAGACGACACCAUGCAUUCUAGACAUGCAUGCCUAGACGACAGCAUGUGCUGAUUAUUAAUGGAAAUUACAAUCACACUCCAUGCCUGCAGAAUAUUCUAGGGAUGCACCAUGCAUGCCUAGACGACAGCAUGUGCUGAUUAUUAAUGAAAAUAACAAUCACACUCCAUGCCUGCAGAAUAUUCUAGCUUAGAUAGGCCGGUUAUUGUACAUCCAUGUAAAUGGCCCAGAAACUAUGAAAGACAUGAAUUUUGGAAGCCCUGACCUUGUUCAAAUCUAAAAUCACAAAUAAAAAAAAAAGAAGCUAAAUUUCAGAAUCAAAUCAAUUCAUGUUGAAGGACUGGUAGAAGGAUCAGUUUUCGUUCAAGACGAAUCCUCCUCGACACAGUCAAUCCCUAAACAACUAUCUUAUAUGGCUACAGCAGGAGUGCAUUUACUAUUGGAAAAUUUUAACUUAUCCAUUAUUUUUUAAGAAAGCAGAAAACUAUUCAAUAAUGUGUUCACUGGAUAGAAUUUUGUCAGAAAUCCAGGCUUCCUAUUUCUUAAAAAAAAUCUGAAAACUUUAGAGCUACAACAUACAUUUUUCAUGUUUUCUACUUUGUUUUUAGGGAAAAGAGAAUCCACUUCGGAAUAUAGUGGUCCUCAUAGGAAUGCUUCUCGAAAAAAACCUUGUGUUAUUUUAAAGGAGCCAAAAGAGGUCCCCAUUUUCUAGUUAGAAAAAUAAAAAUAAUAGAUAAAAACAUUCCCUCCAUCUUUCAUGGAAAAAAAAAUUGGCAGAAUAGAGAGAAAGGUAAAAAAAAUAAAAUUGGCAGAAUAAAGGGAAACAUGAAAACUACUUUUCAUUAGAAAACUGUAAGAGAACCAAUACUGUGCCAUGAGUGAAUCACUCUGUGGUGGCUUAAUUAUGGUAUUCUCUUAGUCUCUUGUUUCUUCUUAAACUUCUCUCUCAAUUUCCAGCCUCUGUAUUGUAAAUUCUCUUCAGUAAAAUUUAUAUUAAAAUAUUUUUUGCAUCAGCUUAAGGACCAAAUGAAAAACUAACAAGCACCACAAGCAAAUAUUGGAUGUGGAUAAAAAUAAAACUCUACUUGGAAGUUAUGGGAGCAGUACAGUUCUUGAAAGCAGAUGACAUGGAGAAUUCACGCACUCAUAUAAACAAAUAAGACACCAAAAAAUGAAUAUCCAGAGUUGUCUUAUUGGUAGAAAAACAAAAUUAUCAACUUACAGUCUACAUAUAUGUUCUUUAUUUCCUUUGUCUCAUAGUCAGGAGAUGGAGAACGGAAACCCAAAGUUGAUCUCACAUCACUUCCUACUUUAUCUGAAGAAUUACAUCCAGGGAUGUUAAAUUUCUGGUCUGUGCAUUCACUUUCUUUGGGUUCAAAACCAUCACCAUAUGGCUCAAUGCACUAAAACAGAGAGGAAAAUAUUAACACUAUGGUUAAUGGUGACUUGAAAGUUUGGAAAAUCAAAUAAAAACUAAAUUAAUAUAAACAGAAAAAAGGUUCAUGAGUAGAAAAGGCUACCGAUAUAUCUCCAACCCAAACUCCAACAGAGUUUCUAUAGAAUGAACAGCCCAAGAGUUUCCCAUCAUGAAUGCAGAGGUCACCAAGUGUCGACCAUCCCAUAUCAACAGCAUCAUGGCUAAUCACAGGCUCCCAAGAAUAAACCUACAGUUUUAAGCAUAAUUUUUGAGCUCCACGUCAAUUGACAAAUAACAUAAAGCAGUGUCAUUAUGCCAAAAACCCAAACCUUCAGACUAUCAUCUAAUCCACAAAAAAGCGUCCUUCCAUCAGGAUGAAAGGUAAUAGAGCGCACUCCUGUAGCCUGAAAAGUGGAAGUAUAACUUUUUUAGGGAACAUGAUGGAAGAAUUUACUAAUUAAUCAUCCUGAAAACCACAUACCAACAUAAUAAUUAAUCAAAUGAGGACAGGAUAACCUAGAGUAGCCUGUAAAGAAACUUAGAGACUGGGAAGAAAGUUGGAAGAGAGGGCAGAACUGAAGAUUUCACAUAUAUGAACCACAUACUCUGGGGCAGCAAAAGCAUCUAUUGUUAUAAGAGAUCUCAACUGAUUAGGUUACAAAAGUUAUUGAAUAUCAACACUAUAUGGUUCCAUAUCAGCAUAAGAAUAAUAGCCUCACACCAUUAACUGACUAACCAUGACCAUAUCAGAUGUAUGAAACAUGUCUUGAAACUUGAUUGCUUCCAAGACAUUCUUGACAAGAGACUUUAAAGUGGGCUUGUUGUCGUGAGCCAAUCUCCAAUUUUCUUAUUUAACCACAUUUUGAUGACUAAAAUUAUUUCAAUUUAUAAACACAAGCUUAGAUACCUCAGGUCGGGUAGAUCCAAUCAGUUCGAAGGUCUCCAAAUCCCAGAAUUUCACGGUUCUGUCUGCUGAACCUGAAAAAUUAUUUGCAGAUUAUGACAACUAAGUAGUUGAGUACCUCAAGUUAAAACAUGCUGACUGGUGGGGGCAAAGAAAGUAACAAAGAAAUAUGUAAAUUUUACCACAAUAAGCUCCUAAAUGAAGCGCAUUAAUCAAGUAUGAAUUAGAACAUUGAAGAAAAUAGAAUUACCAAUGAAAUGGUAAUAAUUGCACAGAAAACAAGAUGGAAGGCACCUGUCAUCUCAAUAAUGGUGUCAUUCACACACAAAAAAGUGAGCAUAAUUCAAGGUACUCACACAGAGAAAUCAUGUACUCACCAGUAGCAAGGAGAAACUCAAGGGGAUGGAAAUCAAUGGAUCUAAUAUGUCCUUCAUGGAACUUAAAAUCAUGUAAAAGCUUUCCAGCAGUAAGAUCCCACACCUGUUCAACAAUAACAAGGAAACACCAAUAAACAGUGGAAAUAAAACCUAAAUGAAAGUCACGUUUGGUUAGUGUGAUUGAUAAUUUACCUUAACAACAUUAUCACAUCCACCGGAAACCACCCAACGACCAUCGGGAGUAAAUCUGAUAGUGCUAAUUCCUUGAGUAUGACCCUUGUACGUGUGUAUGCAGCCCUUUUUUCUGAUAUCCCAGAUCCUCAUAUUCAUGUCUGUGGAACCAGAAGCAAAGAACUCACCAAAUGGAUGGAAUUCAACGGCUGUGCAGUUGGAUCUGUGUCCAGUAAGAGUGCGAACCACUACACUUCAAGAAAAAUAACAAAUGGAUUAGUUUUUUACUAUAAACUGCAAAAGCGAUUCCUAACACACCAGAUGCUCAAUAAUUUGCUAGUUCAACAUACACAUGGAAAAGACUUAAAAAGGGUAACCACAUUGCUAAAUUCUCAUACCAUAGUUAAACACACCAACUACAUAAACUUAUGAUAACCACUUCAUUUAAGCAAGGAAUACAAUCAAUCAAUCAACUUACUCUUAGCUUCUUCUAAAUCCCACAGCUUUAUUGCACCCAUAGAAGCUCCGGCAAGCACUAAAACUUCUGGUGUAUCAAAAGCAACAGAUUCAACUGGACUUGUAUGGCCACACAAGCUCUGCAUAUCGACACCAAUAAAUAAACAACCACAGUUAUGUAUGUUAAUAACACCACCUAACAGAUGCACCCAUUCCAUUUACACUAGCAUUUUCUAAAUGAUAGAUUCAAACUCAAGUAAUUCUCAAUUCCAAACUGGCAGUCCACUUUCCACUUUUUUCAGUAAAUCCUAUCGGAGGUUAAAAUCUAAACUUCCUCUAAGAUGCAAUAUUAUAUGAUACAACACAACAGAUUGAAAAUGUGGCAAAACUAAUGCACUGAUCUAGCCCAAAUGAUAACAAGUAGAUAAAAUCACACUCAAUAAAAGCACAUUAGAGUACCGGAAUCAGAAAAACUUCAAAUAGGUGGGCAUGAGAUAAAAACAGAAAGAAUAGAAACUCACCAUUAAAGAAGUGGGUUUGCCAAUUGCCCAAAGAUUCACUUUAUGAUCAUCACCACCGGUGAUAAACAUUCUACACGCCUUUUUACCGAUACUUAAGCAGUUCACAUUGGUUGAAUGAGCCACAAAUUCUUCUAUUUUCAUCUCAGUCAAGAAAAUAAAUAUAUUGAAAAUAUUCUGAUCUAAGAUUCCAAAAUACUUCUCUCUUAGCUUAGAUUAAAACAACUUCUCGCCAAAUUAUUUGUAACAAAAAAAUAAAUAAAAGUACAGACCUGAAACUAUAAUCAAAACAAGAAAUGAAGAAAAAGAAAUUGUAUUAAGUUCAAGCAGAGAAAGAAAGCAUUUCAAGAAAAUCACGAGAAAAAUUAAAAAAUAAAAAUAAAAACAAAAACCUGAAAUUUCUACAGUUAACCAAAAAAAGAUCAUUUUUAAAAAAAAAUUCAAAGUUUUAGAAAACUAAAAACAGCUAAAAUCCAACUCGAAAACAAGCUCAAAUUAAAAUCAGCACUAAAAAAACCCUAAAAACCACGCUUCGAAGCUAAAAUUAAAGAUGAUUCAAAGCUUAAAAACAUGGACAUUACAGAUGAGACGCAGAAAUCAAGACAAAAAAGAAAGGAUACGCAGCUUAUAUCCACGCUUCGCCAUUUCUCGCAGAUUCGAAACGGUAGCGUAUUGAGGAAGGCGCGCGGUUGUCCGUCUGCUGCUACUGAUGAUUCUUGAAAGAUUAGGAAUUGGAUUCCAGAUAGAGAGGAAUUUGUGUGUCUCUCUCUCAGAUUCCUACAGUAGAGGAGGAGGAGCAGAGAGGAUGAAGAAAAGAGGUUUCUGGCUCCUUUUUUUGAGAAACGUGUGUUCUCUGUCGUCUAAGAAGAAAAAAGAGGGGAGAGAGAGAGAGAGAGAGGAGAACAGUUCAAUUUCUUCAGAUUUCAGACCAUGAUAGCCACUACUCCUACUCCUUUCUUUCUCAUAAACUACAAUCUAGUCCUUCAAUUAUUCUAGAGGACCUACAAGUUUGUUUAAGGGCUUGUUUAGCAUUGCAGGAAAACAUGUUUGUUUAAAUUUUGUUUUUUAUUUAAAAUAUUUUUUAAAAUAUUUUAAUAUACUGAUAUUAAAAAUAAAUUUUAAAAAUAAAAAAUAUUAUUAUUUUAUUAUAUUUCUGAGUAAAAUUUAAAACACAAUAUUUAUUAUACUCUCAAAUAGGCACUAAAACCUCAUAUAUUUUUAGAUUAGUUCUUGUAUUUAUUUAAAUUAUAUUUUUUAUAUAUAGUUUAACAAGUCUUAAAUGUGUUAAUUGAAUGUUUUAAAAAAAAUUGUAUCAUAAUUUUAUAUAAUAUAUCAAAAAAAUUCAAAUUCUAAUUUUAUUUGACCUAACAAAUUUUCAAUACACAAAACUAAAAUUUUUAGAAACAAAUAAAUUAAAUUUUUAUCAACUAAAACAAAAGUGUGAUCAAGCACAAAUAGAAUAAUUAAAAGUAUGCUUGCUAAUCUAAUAAUAAUAAUUUUUUUAAAUUUAUUUCAUUUCGAAAUAAAUCUAAAUAUUUUAUUAUUAUUAUUUUUUAAAUUUUAUUUUAAAUAUUAAUACAUUAAAAUAAUUACAAAACAUAAAAAAAAUAUGAUAGAAUAGUUGUACGUACAGAGUGCAAUAAUUAUUAGUGUUUUUAAUUAUUAUUUUUUGGCUGUUCAUGUUAACAUGACUGGAUUUGAACAGUGCACGUAGUGUCGAUGUCGAAGUAGACAAAUAAAAUGAAAUAGAUGGAUUUAUUAAUAUCGAGGAAAAAUAGUUUCUCGGGUGACAUCACACUGGUUAAAUUUUAUAUUAAAAUAACCCAACUGAAACGUAUUGCAUAGUUAGAGGACUAUUCUAUACUUUCACGUUUUUCAAAAACUCACAUGUUGCCAGAGUAUGAAAUUACAAAAACGCGCAUGGUCGAUAACUUCUUGACAUACAAGUCCCCGGUUCUGGUGGCAAGGGUUUUUCUCUUAUUUCACGUCUUUUUUUUUUGUUUUUUUCGUAAUUAUUUUGUGGUGCAAAGAAUUACAAGUCCUAUUUAUGCUAAAAAAUACAAAAUAUUUUUUAUCCAAUUUUUCUGGAGUCUACCAAACGGUUGGGUGGUUAGAUUAGUGAUGAAAUUUGAAGUGCGAUUAGGGGCAUGAAAAGGGCUUUAUAUUAAAGGAGGAAAAUGGAAUAUUAGGCCAAUGACAACAAGAGAGAUUCCUUAAAAUAUACGUUUACUCUUGUCUUGGGUAAUUAAGGCUGUUGUUGGGAAAUAGACCUUUGCUAGGAAAUUUAGGUAAAAUAUUCAUUAGACUUUAGGUUAUGAUCUAACUAACUCAACUUCUCCAUCCCCGCAAAUUCAUUGAGUGUUUGUUUUUUCAUUAUAAUUUAUGUUUUAAAUUAAUAUUUUUUUAGGUAUUUUUAAAUGGUUUUAAUAUAAUAAUGUGAAAAAUAAAUUAAAAAAAUAUUUUGAUGUAUUUUUAAUUAAAAAAUAUCAUAUACCAUAAUAUUAAACAUGCAUUAUAUAUUUUUUUAUUCAUAAAUAGCUAAUAAUAAAAAAUAAAAAGGCAACAAACUUUUUGUGCAUGCCAUAUUCGUUUUAUUUAUUAUUAUUAUUAUUAAUCAAUUGGGGUUUUAUUUAUUAUUAUUAUUAUUAAUCAAUUGGGGUUUUUAAAUUUUCUGAUCAAAAAAAUGACAGAGAUUACUUUUCAAAAUGUUUUUCGUUUGAAAAUACAUUAUAAUAAUAUUUUUUUAUUUUUAAAAUUUAUUUUUAAUAUUAAUACAUAAAAACGAUUUAAAAAUAUCAAAAAUUAAUUUAAAACUAAAAAAAAUUAAAUUAUUUUUAAAAAUAUAGUUGGAUCUCAAUGAAUAACUGUGCAUAAAUGUUGGAGUAUAGAUUCGGAUUGUUUUUCAGAUAUUUCUAUUUGGGAUGUGAAGAAUCAUUAAUGCGUGUGAAGUUGCAAGUGUAGAUUACAUUAAUGAUCUUAGAUUGCACACAGUUCAAUCAUGGUUGGCAAAUGAAACUGUAUUAGACCAGAUAUAGUUGGUACCAAACUAAUCCAAGUGCUUGACAUGUCUUUAUGAUGGUUCCAUUUUUUUUCCAAUUUUGGGCAAACCUCCUAGAUUUGAAGGGACAACAUUAAAUACAUGGAUGCAUGAUAUGAUCUUCUUUUUUAUAUAUUAACAUGAUUCCAAAUCUAGCAUCACUCCCUUGAUGGAAAAAAGUUUUACACAUUUCUCUUUCAAUUCUAAUUUUCAUAAUCAACUUGGUGUUAGCGUGACUAGAUAAAAGCCUUUUAAUUUCUUGAAAGGUAUCGUGUAUAUCUGUUUGUUUAGUUUGAUUUGAAUAAAAAAAAUCCAACCCAACAAGAUGUGUUUUUGUUUAAAUAAAUCAAAUUAAACUAAAAUGAACAAAUAUUGUUCAAGUUCAUAGUUUGAUUAUGUUUGUUUUUGCAGGUUGAAAUUUUUUUACUUUUGUUUCUUUUUAAAAAAAUUAUUUCUAUGCUGAUAUAAAUAAUAAUUUUUUAAAAAAUAUAUAUUAUUUUAAUAUAUUUAUAAGUAAAAAGUAUUUUAAAAAACAAUAUUUACUAUAAUCUCAAACAUUAUCUCUAUCUUAAUUAAUAAAUCUCACUUUUUUUAUUUUAUGUAAGAAAAUAGUUUAGUUCAACUUUAUUUAUUUUUUGAAAUCAAAACUAAACUCAACAGGAUUUUAUUUUUUUAAAAUCUUCUAAUUGGUUUUUUUAUUUGAUAUCUCAUGUUGUUUUCUGAAUUAAGUUUUUGUUUUUUCUAAUUUGGUUAUCUUGUUCAUCACUAUACAUAAACACAUAAACAUGCAACCUCUAUAACUUUUAUGAACAGAAAAGGAGAGGGUAAAAGCUAGAGCUGGUCAAAAGGUAAAAAAAAACAGAGGAAACGAAAACAGAGCAUAGUGGGCGUGAAGACCUUUUUCUGGAUGUGGGGUUGCUCGAACCAUUUGGAUUCCGGGGGCAGAGGCGAGUGUCUCGAGCAUAAGAACACUUGCGAUACAAGAUCAUCCGUCCCCGGAAGCACAUGUGACGCUACAUUGUAACAUUUCCCUUUUUCCUAUGAGAUAAUGACCUGUGAAGGAGAUCCAUGUAAUCCCAUAGGCUCCAUCUAUCUUGGGUAUGAACAUCUCCGGCAUGAACUUAUCCUCAAGCAACGUACCGUGACGAGGAAGGAUUUGAAAUCUAUAUAACAGGUUUUGAGUUCGAGUUAGGGCAUGUAUCUUUUGUAAGAGCUUGAAAUAGCUGGGAAGUUAGGGCAUGUAUUUUUUAUAAGAGCUUAAAUUAGCUGAGGUUUUACUAAUUCAUCUAGACCAUAAAAUGUACUUUUUGAAAAGUUAGGUUUUCUCGAAUAAUAAUAAAAAAUAAUCUCCAGCAUGAACAGAAGCAGAUAAAGAGUACAGUGAAGAUAAGAUCGUCACUUUCAUACCCCAGUUGAUUAGCUUCUGGCCCUCUACCCCCUCCGCUGGGCAUUGAAUAGUAAGCUGACUUCAACGUGGAAAUGGAAGUUUAUAUCAAAUUUAAGGCAACGAUUGGUUAGUUUAGUUGUUGUAAUAUAAUCUGCGCCUUUCUUUUUGGUUUUUUCUUUUAUUUUCAGUUCAAUAGGAACUUCUAAAGACCUGGUCCAAGAAAAAAUUAGGGAGUUUAGGAGGUUGAAAAUGAGUUUUGUCUCGAUCAUGAUUUUAAAAAUAUUUGGUUAUUCAACAUAUAUUAUAUUGUAGUUUUAUAUAAAUCCCACUGAAAACUCUCUCGUGAAACCUUAAUUACCAAAAAACUAUUAAUAUGAAACUACCAUAACGCCAAAUAUUAAUAUGAAAGGUAACUCGAAAAUCCUCUGUGAUGAGAAAGAGAGUUACAGGCAGUAAACCUGCCAUUUAAAACCUAGGAUUGAACUGAAUUAUUGAAGUCUUUAAUCAUUGGGAGUCUCCUUCAGGGCAAUUUAUUGAUGAGCAGUGGCCACAGAAUAAUUUAUUCAUGUGCAUGGCUUUGAACUUCUAAUUGUCGACAUGUUAGGGCAUUUUGUAUGGACACUGAUUUGGAAAUUAAUUAAAUAUGAUAAAGCUAAAGAAUAGUAUUUUACUGUCAGGGAGCCGGCCGACAUCUCAGGCUCACCAGCAACUUAGCACCCAUAAAAUCAAAGAAUAUCUGUCCCCGGCCUUUGCCCCUUUACCAUAUUUUUAUUUCUUUAUAAAAAAUCACACUUGCACUUGAUUACUGCUGCUCUGUUGUGAAAAAGCUGAAGCAUAUCUGGUCAUUAUAAUUACAGAAAGGUGGCACUUCUGAAAAUAAAAGGGAAAGAACUUAGAGAGACCCCUCACCAUCCACUGGAUCCAAUUAUGGAGAUGAGCACAUGGUUUCAAGUUAACGAGUGGCUCUCGAGCUAACAGAAAAGACAUGAAGUGGGCUGCCAUCAAGUCUAACAAAUGACCUGACGUGUGAAAAUGACAUACAAAAUUGAUUCAAAAUGGCAAAAUGCUGCUCAACGUUGUUAAAUAUAAUCAAGAAAUCAAGAAGCGAUUACAUUAGAAAGUAAUAUUCAACAGAAUUCUGAUAAUGACUAUAUACCAACAGCUUUCUAAUAACUAAAAUGAACAAUGAAAACCUAGGAAAAACUGGUAAGUUACUUCGAAAAUUCUACCCAAGUAGGAUUUUAGCUUGUGAAAGACAAUAUUAUGCUGCUUAACAUAAGAAACACGGUCCUCCAAAGCGAUCCCACCUCGCAAAAAUCUUGGCCUGGCCAUUUUCUAAUAAGCCGGACUUCUGAGGUCCUCCUCUAUAACAUACAUAAAAGAUCCUGAACGAUUUCAGACAUGAGUGGCCUGAAUUCGGGCUCCCACUGCAUACAGAAGAGGAAAAUCAAUGGUCAAAAAGGUUGCUUAUCCCGCUAGAUAAGCAAAGAAAUGCUAAAAUGAAAUUUUUUUUUGUUAAAAUCAUGCAAAAAUGCCAGUAAAAAGGCCAGUUAAGUGUUGAAACUUCAGUUUUCAUAGGGUGGCAUGCUCCCUGACUCCCUCAUUCGAUCCUUUCACCACAUCCGAAUUCCUCUACAAGAGGCACUUUCCCCGCGCAUGAAAAGGUGUCUUCUACAAUGCCACAGGAGCUGAUAUUUACAUGUUUGGCUUCUUUUGUUGUCGAAAAUUAAUAUUGAUAAUCAAAGUACAAAUAGUAAAUAAUCCCCCCCCCCCAACACACUUCAGAAAAUCAGUCCAUAUAAAAGAAUCUAAUCCAGAUAAUUUAAAGGCCUACUGCUCUUGGUCCAACACUGACACAUCCAGUACAAUGCUCCCAGAUCCACAACUCACCAUUCCAGAAACAUGUAACUCAAUUAUAGAAAAUACGCCAAGGAAAGGGAAACUUGCCUGCACACAUCUAGAUAUUAUAUCAGCAAAACGUGAUAAAGACUUCACAGGACAUGCCCCAUUUAUAGAGGGGUCAACCAUCCUAGAAAGUGCAUCUAUAUCAUGAAGCUGAUGAAUUGCCCAUCUAACCAGAGAUUGCUCCCCUCGACUCAAUGACCUACAGGUUUUCAGUGAGAGCACAACAUUAGCUGAAAACAAAUAACUAGUGAGCUCAAUUUGAUUCAUGAUCAAUAUGGAAGUCCCCUUUCAAGAGAUCAGUAACCUGUCAUAAGAUUUUCUACCGGUGAGGAGCUCUAGCAUCACAACUCCAAAGCUAUAUACAUCACUCUUGCUAGUAUAACUUCCCAACUCAAGCUCUGGAGCCCCAUAACCAUGAGCACUGAGGACGCGCCCUGAUAACUGAAAGGCAUGUUCUUCAACAUCAGCAACAAAUUACAAAUAACGACAACCAAAGUCAAACUUCGCAGCUUGAAGUGGACACAUCAAUUUGGGCUUAAAGUAAUAAAUCAUUUUUUUAUUAGCACUGAAUUGAGAAAAAUUCAUCAAGUUUAACAAUCAGUUUUAGCACCUUAUGCUAUUAAUUUAAUUUCUGUAAUCCUGGAAACUUGCCCACUUGAAAUCUUAACAAACAGAGAAUCAGAUAAUACAAUAGCAAAGUUCCAGAUCUAGAUUUUUAGACAUAGACCAAAAAUAUUACCUCAGUUGCAAAGCCAGAUGAUUUCAGAGGAGCCAGGCCACAGUCUGAGACACGAGCUACAAGAUUAUCAUCAAGUAGAAUGUUGGAAGAUUUAAAAUUCCAGUGCACAAUAGGUGGUUGGCAAACCUCAUGCAGAUACCUUACCAAAAAGAAAAGUACAAAGACAGUCAGUUUGACUAAUGACUAAAGAUUGGAGGCAAAUGACCUCUGUUUCAUAAUCAUGCAAGCCAAAAUGAAGGAGGUAAUGGACUUGUGAGACAUCUAGGAACCCCUUAGGCCACCAAGAUAAGAAAUGCAACAAAGACAAUGGAUUGAUCAUCUGGCCUAAUAUGAUCUUACAGUUUUAACUGAGUAUCUAAUUACAAGUCAUACAAAUAAUGGUCCUCGGGUUUAGUUAGUUGGUAGCUCAACUUACUGGAGGGCUCUAGCAGCUCCUAGUGCCAGCCGGACACGUGCAUUCCAUGAGAAUUUCCUAUGGAUUUCUUCAUCCGCAUGCAAUGCAUCAUAAAGUGUCCCAUGUUUGCAAUACUCAUAAACAAGUAACCGUUGCCCAUGCUCAUUACAGUAUCCCACAAACUCCACGAUAUUAUCAUGUUGAGUUUUCGAUAUGCUAGAAACUAGUUGAAGAAAUUCCUCAUCAGUCUGUUGCUUGGAAGCUCCACUGUUUAGCUUCUUGACUGCCAGUAGCUACCAAAGAUAACAGAAACAAAAAGAGAGAGGGUCAAUAAAUAGAAAUCAGAUGUCAGGCUCUAGCCAUCAUAUGCAAAUCAGGCCACUCAUGACCAUCCAUGAGACAGACAUAAAAGAAUUGCACGAGUAAGAAAAUGGAUUAAACUUGCACACUGUGAAAGUGCUGAAAAAUCCUGAAGAAUUCUCUAAACGUUUUAAAUUAAAGUCCUUCACACUUUGAACUGCAUGUAAUUGAUUGGCCAUGCGAGUAUCCUAGCAAAAUAUGAUACAAAAUUUAGCUUAAGACUAAGGAAAAGAAGAGAAUCUUACACCGACAGAGUUUAUAAUAAAUGAAGACAAAUGACAGUAUAACAUGAGCACUGGCAUAAAGUUCAAGUAGGAAGCACAAAUAAGUUCAGAACCAACUCAAUUUAAGGACAUGCAAUGCUAUAACACUGACAUGAGAAGGCUUGUGAAAUCACAUGAAUGACACAUGGCAUUCCCAAAAUCAGCUCAAUGCUAGAAAAGAGAAUCUUACUUUUCCAGUAGGAAGCUCAGCCCUGUAAACACUGCCAAGUGUCCCUUCACCAACAAAAUUUUCUUCUGAAAAGCUGUUUGAGUACUGCUGAAGUGUAGCAAUGGUGAAAAUCCUUGGAAAAUGUGAGGUCAAAGUCCCGGUUGAAUGACUCUUUUCAUGAGCUGCAUGCCCAAUUGGAUUUGCAAUGACAUUGCCAAUAGGAAGGCUUGGGGGAGGUGGCGGCAGUGGCAUAAAAUUUGCAUCGACGCUUGUCAUGUUUAUCCCAUGAUCCAUCUUUUGCUUGGAAUAUGCAGCCAUUCUCUUCAAAUCAAUAUCCAGUUCACCAUGUGCCUUUGGAAAUGCUUCCUGCCUUCUGGCAUCUGGUCCAUAUUGAUCUUGCAGCUUUACGGUUGAUUCUUUGGUAACUGCUCAAAGGACCUCUUUUCAGGCAAAAGGACACGGAGAGUGGAAAAUUUUAGUAAUUUUGACCAACAACCUGCAAUGAUAGUUACCUUUCUCUUGAUUAUUUCGUUCAAAUGAAGAUUUACUGUUGAGCUCAUCUAUACGGCUCUUAUAUACACUAACAUUGUGCCUCUCGUUGUCUUCUUCAUUUGCUUUCCUUCCUUUGCAGCAUGUUGACAUUAAAAGACAUAAUCCCAGUAUGAUAAUAAUAACUACUACCCCUAUAACAGCAAUCCAAAUGACCCUCUUAGAUGCAAAAAAUCCUUUCGAUCUUUCAGACUUUAGUGUUACUGAGGCAGAAGGACCAUUUGCCUGCUUCUGAGGUGCUUCUGCAACAGGUGGCAAGCUUGGAAAUGGAGAGAUGGCAGGUGGCGGAGAAGGAAUGAUAGAUGUAUUGAAUGGAUUUCCAUCUUUUCUGCAAAAUACAUGCUACCAUUACAAGCAGAUAAAAAAUAAAGAUUAUACCAGACAUUGAAAAUGCCUAAUGAACAGGCAUGGAAAAUCAUCCAUCAUAGAGGCCAUCAACCUUUCAAAUAACAUCAGAAUAUAUAGCAUCAACAAUUACUAUGACAUGCAUAAUUUGGCUAAUGAGAUUUUUGUCUUUGGAUGUGGACAUGUUCUCUCUAAAUCCCAAUGGCUUUCUCCCUUACUUUAUGCUCUAACCAUAAGUCUUGUACAUUAUUUUCUCCAUAAACGCGCAUGUAUAUCUGAUAAAUUUAGGUGUAAGAUAUACUAACAGAUAGUUUGUACAGUGGCUUCACCUGAAAUUUGGAAUAUCCAGCAGCUUCUCAGGAAUAGGCCCAGAAAAUAGAUUGUUCUCCACAUUCCUAUGCAGAAACAAAGGGAUAGCAUGUCAGUUGUUGAUGAAAAGGUCAGCACAUCAUAUAAACCAACUAGGGGAUUGCUGCCUCAUCGAUGCAGAAUCAAGUAGCAAGUAGUGAAUCAAACAGAGUAUAGAUUUAUGUCCUCUGUGUUUGUUUAUUUCACCACUUGAUUAUACAUAAAAAUUGAAUCCUUGAAAGAAUUGCCAAUUAAAAGACUUAAAAACCAAAAGAGCACUAGGGGUCAGAAAGGUGUCAAGAAAGUUACAGAUACUCAAGGGGAAGAUCCUGCAGGACAUUAAGGGUCCCAGUAAGUCUAUUGUUCUGCAAAUGCCUGCAAAACAAAAAUUAUGUAUACAUCAAGUAACUAUAAUCUGUUGCAGAUUAUUAGCAAGAAGCCAAGUACUCUAUGAGAGCCUCACAAUGUGCUGAGAGAAGACAAAGUUCCCAUUGAAGGAGGCAGCUGAUCACUCAAAUUAUUACCAGACAGAUCCCUGAACCAAUAUGGAUGAUUAAAAAUAAAAUCUGGCAAUUUCUAUUUUCAACAAGAAUAAUGGAUUUAACUUGAAAUACUUACAAAUUUGUCAAACUUGUCAUUGGUUGAAAGACAUCUGGUAUUUCUCCAAUUAGCUGAUUAUUGUGAAAAGAUCUAAGGAGAAUAAAAGUGGAUUUCAGAUGAACAAACAUAAUCUAAAGGUAGUGCAAUUCCACAAUAUGAAACAAUUAAGAAGUUUUUUGUAUGAACAUACAAGUCUAACAGUUGACCUAAUGAGUCUAAAGUAUCUGGAAUUCUUCCAGUGAACUGAUUGCGAGCAAGAGAACUGGAAUAGGAAAAGAAGCCACACAAAUUAUUUCCUCAAGGAAAUGUACAUGUUAAGAAAGGAAUAGCAGCAUUAACAAAUAAAAAUAAUUUUCUAGAACCGGUUUGUUAAACUGGUGAUAAAAGCAAGGUUGAAGUUUACGCACAAGUUCCUCAAGGUAGAGGGUAACGCCGAUGGAAUAUCCCCUCCAAUAUGAUUAUCACUAAUAUCUCUGCAACAAAAAAGUGAUAGAAAGUACCAUAAGUCUUUAACAACAGGGGCUUCAAAACUCCAUUUACAAACUGCAUGUAUCAUGAACUUAACCAUUGCCAACUCGUCAAUUCUUAAAAUCACCCCGGAUGAUUCUGGUCAUUAACCAUCCUCUUCAAACUUUUUAAGGUAAAACUCAUCAAUACUAUACCUAUGAACUAAACGAGAAACAACAAUCAUGAAAACAUCAUGAUCCGUAAACAGGUUUGAUUGAGAAAAUUAUGUCGCCAAACUAAUCUACCCCACCAAUUUCAUAAUUACAUAGACGUGACCAGUGCACUUACAUAUCUAUGAUUGAUGUAAAUUUAUUGAAAUCGCUGUUCAAGGUUCCCCCUAAAUUCAAGCCAUUUAGUGUUCUGUAAGAAAAAAGAUUCGAUUACUGAGUUGAGUAGAAGUUUACUAAUUGAAAUUAAAUAAAGAAAGAAAGAUACAAAUAGAACAUACAAUGAGGUUAUGUUUGAGAAUACACAACCAACUCCUUGCCAUGCAUCUGAACAUGGGUCUCCUCCCAUAGCAAGCCAACCAAUCAACUGAGGAUAUUGCAAGCUAACAAACAAGCUAUUCAUUGCAGUCACUGGAAAAAAACGAAGAAGAAAUGAAACAUACAUAUACUGAGUCAGAGAUUAUUACAUAAGUUGAAGCAAUCGAGACGCCCAAAAAUGAAAAAAAUGAAAAAUAAAACCAUAUUUGACACUAUCAUUAAUCAAGCAAGGAUAAAAUAGAGUUGGGUAAUAUUAUCAUAAUAAGGAAUGUUUGGUAAGUAAAUUAGAUGCCAUGAACAAACUGUCUAGUUACCAACAACGUAUAAAAUUCAGUAACACUAAUUUAACUCAUUCUUUAACAUGUUCCCAUACACACAAAUGAUUAGAAGAAGAAGAAGAAGAAGAUCAUUAAUAAGCAAAUCAUGGUAAUAUUUCAAAAAAAUGAAAUAAGAAGCAUAGGUGUACAGAUGCCGCAAGCAAAUGAAAGCCAAGCAACUGACAAGACGAAUCAAAUAAAAUAUCAAAACUUCAGAAACAAUCACAGCAUUAUGAGGCAAAACAUCCAAAAAACCAAGAAGGAGAGACCAACAAAAGACAUGACAGCCAAAAAUAACAUGAACCCGGAAAAGAAAAUGGUUUACCAUCAUUAGGGUCGGUGUAAGAAACAGAAAAGGAAGUCAUGAGAACCGCCACCAGGACAAAAAACACCCCACACUUGACAAACCCCAUUAGUGCUCACUUGAAAAGACUCAAACUUUCCCUUCUUUUCUUCAAUAUUUCUCACAAAUCAAACAUGGACAGAUAAAAAAAAAAUGUUUUGGGGCAUAAUUUUACAUUUAUAUAUAGAGAGAGAGAGAAACAAAAGGAAAGGUUUUUGAACAGAAAUUGAAAAUCUUAAAGAUUUGAGAGAGAGAGAGAGAGUAAAUCAGAGGAUAAUUGAAUGCAGGCAGAAUUAAGAAGCGGUAGUGAUUGAAAAAAUCGAAAAUUUCUUGUUGAGAUCAGAAGUAAAGUAGAGAGUGAGUUCAGAGUUGGGGUUUCGGGAGAGUGGAGAGUGCAGUGCAGAUGUGCUGUGUUUUAACGAAAAGAGAAAACAAAAGGAAAGCAACGGCAUUAUUAUGGAAAACGAUGGUUGCUGUUUCCUCUGUGGGAAAAUGUAAUAUACUAUAAUUCAUAUGCUUCUACUUUAUUUAAUGGGAAUACAGAACAUCGUGGGCGAUGGGGCCCUCAAAUAUGUGGAUAAACCAUACUCUUCCCUUUCAUGAGAAUUUAAAUUAUACUUUUAUUUAAAGAAAAACUAGUCAAGUAUAAGGCCGUGUUUGGUAAUAUGUUUGGAUUGUGCUUGGGAAGUGAUUCUCAAGAUAUGUUUUCAAUUGAAAAGAUAAUAAUCAAUUUCAUGUUUUUCUAAUUAUUAUUCUUUUAUGGUUUUGAUAUUUCGAUAGUAAUUUCAUAAUAUAUGGUACUUUAUGAUUAGAGAUGGGUAAAAGUCAAUCCAAUUAACUGAAAUCAUAUAUAAAAAUUAAUGAGAUGCUUGUUUAAUUCAAUUUUUACAUGAAUUUUUAAUUUUUAAUUUUUUAAUUUUAUAGCAUGAUAAUUUUAUUAUUUAAUAUAAUAUAUAGAUUUUCAUCUUAUUAUUUAUUAAGAAUCUUUAUAUUUUUAUGCAUGGAUUUAAAGUUUAGAUUAUAUUUUAUGGUUUAUGUUUGUAUGCAUGGAUUUGUUUUUAAGAAAACUUGUACAGCUAACAAAACCUAACUUUUAAAAAAAAUCCAAAGCCCAUUGAACAAGUAUGAAAAUGUCCAUUUGAAGUCGAGCAUAAAAAAAUUAAUCUCAUAUCAUAUGUUAAUAAGUGAACGAUGAAUGUCAAGAGACAGUUAGCAAUGGAUUAGGAAUCCAUUAUUUAAUUCAAUGACUAAAAAAUAUUAAGAGUUUGUUUGGCUUCUGCCAUGUCUAUAGUGUUAUUUUUUGCUGUAAUAUUAUAAUAUUAAUCUGUUUAGUAAUAAUUUUAUUUAUUUAUUAACAUGAAUGUCUGGGUCAGCUUGCGUGUACCUUAAUUAUUCACAUGGAUCCUGGAGUUAACGACUAUAUAAGUCUUCAAUGGUCAUUAUAUUAGCAACUAGAUGGCUUAAACUUUAAACCAUAAAGGAAGCAAACUCUUUAAUCACAAGCUCUUACCACUAGACCACCUACUAGAUAGUUUGUUUAAUAAUAAAUUGUUAUAAAGUAUUGUGAGUGAAAUCAAUUUAAUUAUUCGAAACUCUACCCCUAUGAUAUUUGAAUUAACAAUUGUAUUAAGGACACAAUUUAAAUGUUUAAAGGUAUGUUUGGAAAUGCAGUUAAAAUUGUGUUUUUUUAAAUUUUAUUUUUUUAUAUGUUUUCAAAUCAUUUUGAUGUGAUGAUCGCAAAAAUAAUUUUUAAAAAAUAAAAAUAUAUAAUUUUGAUAUAUUUUUAAAUGAAAAACACUUUAAAUCUUAAUUGUUGUCACAACCUCAAACAUAUAUUAAAUAAAAUAAAUUAAUAAAAUAUAAAUAUAUUUUUAUACAAAAUAAUAAUCUGACCCACUACACACGAAAGGAGAGCAAUAAUCCAGUACUUAUUGAAACAAUCUAGGUUAGUUAAACCUAUGACAUAAAACUGCUACAUGUACGUUUGUUAGUCGUGGUGUCUAUUCUAUACUCUACUCUCCGUGAUGGGUGCCUUUUAUCACGAUCUCUCAGUCGACCAAUCAAAUGACAGAGACUGCUCAUAGAGACACUAAGUAAAUUUUCCAUUUAAAUAUGUUGCAUGCUAUUUUCUAGCUAUAUAUUAUUUCUAAGAUAGACCUCAUUGAAAAAACAUUGAGCAAUCGACUCCUUAGAUUAGAUAAAUUGAAAAAAUACAAAAGAGUUCUCUUCCCUGUAAUUAGAAUUGCAUACACCAUCGACAUAAAGAGUUGUAGUAUGAUUAUGAUUAUAGUUUAAAGUAUUUUUCAUUUAAAAAUGUGUUAAAACAUAUUUUUGUAUUUUUUAAAAAAAUUAUUUUUAAUAUCAAUACACAUUAAAAAAACAUAAAAAAUCAAUUUUUAAAAAAAUAUAAUUUCAGCUAUGUUUCAAACACUACCAAAAACUGCAGAAAUGCCACAAAUAUGGUACAAUAAACAAGUAAUGAAAGCAUGAAAACUAGAAAAGCAUUGAAGAUUAGGGAUUGCUAUUGUGGUAUAAAGAGCCCAGCCUUCAUCCUCACUGUAAAAAAGAAUGAUAGGAAAAAGAAAACAUAGAAAGCUUCAAGAAGGGCUAGAGCAUGCAUCGUGGUCAUUAAUCAAACAAGGUUACAAGCUACAAGUGUUUUGCUUCCUAAGCAUUUGUUGCUAGAACAAUCUUUUAUAAAGAAUAUAGAUAUUAAAUCUUCCUCGGCGUGAUAAGUUAAUUUAGUAAUAUAAGAUAUGAUUCAAAUUGAGUUGUUGACUAGAAUUAAUUUACUCAACUCAUAAUCUAUAUGAGUUAUGGGCUAGAUGAAUUUUUUAUAUAUAUUAAUAUGGGUAUUUGGUUUAGUUUGUGUUUAUUUUAAUUAAUUUUACAGACUCUGAAGUUAUUAAGUUUCUAGUGGCCCUGAUGUUUAUGAGACUCAAACUGGUGAUCUUUAGCAUAAUUUUUAAACCCAGCCCGGUCAAAGGCUUGGGUUCUGGAUUUUGACCGGGUCACCAGGUCGUCUAGGUCAAUUUUUAUUUUUUAAAACAAUCAAAACGAUAUUAUUUUAGUAUAUAUAUAUAUAUAAAAAAAAAAAAACUAAAGUCAACGAGUUGCAACUGGGUUUUGCCAGGUCAACCAGGUCAUUGGAUAUAUCCACCGGGUCAUGACUUUUCCUAUUUUUUUUUUAAUUCGGUCCAGUUCUAGCCCUGGAUCACGGGUUAAUAUGCCGGGCCGGAUCGAGUUUCAAAACUAUAAUUUUUAAAAAAACAAAUUCAAAAUCUGAACAGUUAAAUUAGAAUUCUUGUAAAUAUGAAAUGAAAUUUAAUAGCUCUGUAAGUAAACUAUAAUGUACGUACGAAGGGGAUCAUUUCUGUAAUUUUGGACUAGCACACAUUCUCCCUCUCUCUUUAUGGUAUGCUCCCAUAAUCAAAGAAGGAUAAAGAAAUUACAUGAUGGUUCGAUAUAAUAUAAUAAUCUGUCAUAAUUUAGUUACUCAAGGUUGGUGGCCAUAUAAUUAACCCAAGAAAGCAAAACCCUAAUUAGUUUUUCCACCAAGCUAUUCCAUCACAGAAAAACAUGGUACAAAGAUGUAAAUUGUGUGACUAUCACGCUUACUGAUGGAAUAUAAUUUAUGUUCCAAGUAAUCAUGUUGUCAUGCAAAUAUAAUAAUGUUCUUCGUCACAAAUAAUAAUUUGUCGAGGCCCCUGAUAAUUUUCGUGUUCUGGACUCUAGUAGAAUUGAAAUGUAGAGUUGUAAUGUUUUGUGUGGCCGAUGUAUCUCUUCUUGCAUGCCAGAGUCAUAGCAUGUAAUAUGGAGGAAAAACAGGAAAAUAUUUGUCCAGAAUGGUCAAGUUUUUUACAGUGAAAUUUAAUUGUUUUGUGUUAACAGAAUUAGACUAGGAGUCUCUUUGGAAAUACAAUUCAUCUUGUGAUUUUAAAAAUUUUGAAGUUUUUUAAUUUAAAACUCAUACUUUUUAGUGUUUUUUUUAUUUUGAUACGUUGAUAUCAAAAAUAAUUUUUAAAAAAUAAAAAAUACUAUCUUUAUAUAUUUCUAAACUAAAAUUACUUUAAACCAUUACCAUUACCUCAAUUUCUAAUAAACCCUGAUUACAUUUAAAGUGUUUAGAAGUAAGGCUUUGAACUGGUGUCAACAAUACAACACGUCCUCCACUCUUUCAAUCAUGGCGAUGGAGCCACAUCCAUGAUUAACGCUUUGGAGUAAGCAUGCUUUAUUCAAUUAAUGGCUGGAAAAUUAUAUUAAGGAUAAAAUAGAAUAUUAAGGAUUUUAGCCACCGGAGGCCCUGCCGGUCCGGUUUAAUGUGAAUGGGGUCUUCACCAAAACUAUGAACGGGGUUAUUGAAUUAUUAUUCAAAUAACACUUAACUUAAAUCCAUUCUAGUUUCCAUUUAAAAAGUGUUUAAAGUAUGUUAAAAUAUUUUUUAUUUAGAAAUGUAUUAAAAUAUUAUUUUAUUUUAAUUUUAAAAAAAUAUUUUUUAUAUCCGCACAUCAAUAUAAUUUAAAAAAAAAAUAAAAAAUUUAAUGUUUUUUUAAAAUAUUUUUGCUACGCAUAGGGUUGGGUAUGAACUAUGAAACUGGCCGAGAAUCAAUAUGCAUCUAGAGUAUCCAUUGUGGGCCAUAGUUUUGCACCUCUAGCCCGAUAGAAUAUGGGCUGGGCUCCAACUUCCAUCCUCGAGCGAGAUUGAAACGUUAAAUGGUACAAUGACUAGUGUCUUCGACCUCUUCACAUACAAGUUUUUUUCAAACAAAAAAGAGAAGGAAAACAAAAAAUUGUAUUCUUCUCGUAUCAAUAUGUGAACCGACUUAAAUGAGAAUUUGGCAUUUUAUAAAAUGAAUAUUUGGAAACAUGAUUGUAUCAUAUUUUUUAAAAAUUUAAAUUUUUUUGUUAAAAAAUAUUUUUUUGCAUGUUUUUGGAUUAUUUUGAUGCGCUAAUUUUAAAAAUAAUUUUUUUAAAAUAAAAAAAAUAUUAUUUUAAUGAUUUUAACGUGAAAAAUACUUUAAAAAAUAACCACAACCAGAUUCCAAAAUAACCUAGAACAAAUCAAGAGAUCUUGUUCCCAAAAGAAAAGGAGACAAGCAAAGCUAAAAAUAUUAUUUUAAUAAUUUUAACGUGAAAAAUACUUUAAAAAAUAACUAUAACUAGAUUCUAAAAUAUUCCAGAACAAAUCAAGAGAUCUUGUUCCUAAAAGAAAAGGAGACAGGCAAAGCUAGAAAUAAAGCUGAAACAAGAAGGCAAUAGAGGGAAACUUGUGGGGCUUUGAAUUCAUCCACUCAAUUUUAUAGAAUGUAUAAUACAAUCAUAAGUGUUAAUAUAGCGAAUUUAUUUUGGGUGGCGGUUACUUUCUUUCAUAAAACAAGAGAGAAAGUAAAGGAUGAAAAAAAUUAUGUUUUGCAAUGUGUUACGUUAUUUUUUAAAAAGUGUUUUAUAAUUAAAAAUAUAUUAAAAUGGUAUUUUUAUAUAUAUUUUUAAUAUCAACACUUUAAAAUCAUAAAAUAUUAUCUAAAACUCAUCAAUUUGAUAUAAAAAAACAAUUUUAAAAAGCAGGUUAAACCCUAAAUAAAUACACUCUAGAAAUAAAAUAAAAUUAGAAGGGUAGAUUUUUUACAUUAAAACUAUAAGGUGCAUGUCCAAUACCAAUUUGGUAGCAUGUCUAGUUAGACGUGCACCUGUUUUGGGUGUACGCUCAACUUAGACUUGUGCUACUACUCUGAAGUCCAUGCUUCUUGGGUGAUGAACUUGGAGUACAACACUCAAGUCCAAACUUAGACUAUCUGUUAGGCCUGAGCUUGAUAACCUAAGCCUAGAUGAUUUUUUAGGUUUUUUAUAAGAGGUUUUAGACUUAUUAAUUUUUUAUCCAUUUAAAAAAAAUAAAGUAAUGGUUAUUUUUAUUUAUUUUUAUCUAAAUGGAUAUAUAAAGUAUGAUAAUUUGAAUAUGAUUAUUCAAAAUCUUUAUACGAUGAGUAAUUGUUAGGUUAAGAUUUUUUAUUUUUCUACUGGUAUGGUUAUGGUUAUAACUAGGGGUGUGUAAAAAAACCGAAAAACCGAAUAAACCGUGAAAACCGAGAAAAAAUUAACCGAAAAAACCGAACCGAAAAAAAAAACCAAUUAAACCGAUUAGAAUAGUUAGGAAACAUCCCGGUUCAGUUCGGUUUUCGGUUUUGUAAUGCAGGAACCGGUUAACCCGGACCGAACCGAACCGAUUCAAAAAAAGUCAUUAUAAAUAGAAAAAUUAUCCCCCAUCUUAACCCUAGCCGCAGCCCCCUCUCACUCUUUCUCUCCAGCAGCCUCCUCAAGCCUUCCCUUCUCCCUUUCCUUCUUAGCUGGGUUGUGGUGCAGAGAGGCUUAGUUGUGGCUGCUGGAGGGAGGCUGUUGUGGGUGUCUAGGUGAGAGAGGGAGAUCUGUGAGGAUGAGGGUGAAGGAUCUCGGUUCAAUAAAGAGGAAGAUGGGGCUGAAGGAGAUGUUGGGUUCGGGGUUUGUUACUUUGUUUGCUGGGGAAAAAAUGUUGAACUACCAUUCUAUACAUGUGGUGCUGCUCCUCACGGUUGGUGAAAAAAAUAAUGCAAGAACUAGUUUCUAUAUUUAUAAGAUCUUACACUGAUCAAAGCUCCUGCAGGAGCAUGCUUACUUUAUCAAUAACCUUUCCAUUAGGAGCCCUCGCCACAAGAGAAUUCGCCAAAGGUUAAGGAGGCGACCAAGAAGAGAGCAGAGACUGGCGAGUUUGAGAAGAAAUAUGAGCAUAUAGGUUUUCUCGGUUUUUUGAAAUCAAGAACCGGACCGAAACCGGUCGGUUUGACUCGGUUUCAGUUUUUUUUUAAAAAAAGAAAACCGGUUUGGUUAUUUUUUUCAGUUCAAAACCGAACCGAACCGAAAAUGCUCACCCCUAGUUAUAAUAGUAUUUAAAAAUUUAUAUAUCCGAUAUAUUAUCCAAGUGAUGGAAGUACAUGAUUGAAUUAUGAUUAUUGAUUUUUCUACCUUCAAAAGUUUUUUAGUUUUAGUCUGCACGUAGGUGUGAUAUAAGGGUGAGGGGGGAUUCAUUGUUCACCCACACCCAAUACACUAUGGACUACCAUUAUGCAUUCCUUUUUUUUUGUCACUUUUUUUUUAUUAUUAUUAUUUUGGCACCUUUUCUCCCCCUUUCCUUUUUUUUUUCUCCAAAAUUAUCUUUGUCAAUUUUACCUUUUUAAUAUCGAGCUGGUUAAAAAUUUUGCUUUGUAAUUUUUUUCUUUUAAACUAUUAUGGAUUGCUACAGUGUUUUCCCACAUGAUUUUUUUAUUUUAUUUUUUUUUAUUUUCCAAAAUUACAUUUGUCGAUUUUUUUUAAUAUUGAACUAAUUGAGAAUUUAGUUUUGUAAUUUUUUUUCUUUAAAACAUUAUUGAUUGCUACAGUGUUUCUCCACGUGUUUUUUUUUAGUUUUUGUUUGUUUUAUGAUUUUCUCCAAAAUUAUCUUUUUUAAUUUUAUUUUUUAAUAUUGAGCUGGUCAAGAAUUACAGUUACAAUAUAUGAGGGAAGCACUGUAGUUUUCCUCGCAAAUUACUGUGGUUUGUUACAAUAUUUUUUCCCAUAUAGUUGUUUCUUGUUUUUUUUCUAAAAUUGUCUUUGUCAAUUGUUUUUUAAUAUCAAGCUGGUUAAGAAUUAUAAUUACAAGUAAAUACAAGUAAUGCUAAAUCAUUUGGGGAAAACACUAUAACUUUCCUUACAAAACACUAUGGAUUGAUACAUUUUUUCCUCACAUGGUUUUUUUCCAGUUUCUUUUUUUGUGAUAUUUUUUUCAAAAUUAUCUUUGUCGAUGUUAUUUUUUUAAUAUUGAGCUGAUUAGAAUUUAACUUUGUAAUAAAGCUUAAUCAAGUAGGGAAAGCAUUGUAUCUUUCCUCACAAAACAUUGUGGAUUGCUGCAGUGUUUCUCCACGUAGUUUUUUUUUCUUAUGAUUUUUCAAAAUUAUCUUUGUCAAUUGUUAUAUAUAUAUAUAUUGAAUUGGUUGAAAAUUACAAUUAUAAGUCAUUACAAACAAGGCUAAAUCAUUCGGAGAAGCACUGUAGUUUUUAUCACAAAACACUGUAAAUUGCUACAGUGUUUCCAACAUGGCUUUUUUUUUUUUCAAAAAUUGUCCAUGUCGAUUUUAUUUUUUAAUAUUGAGUUGAUUGAGAAUUUAGCUUUGUAAUUUGUUUUUCUUUAAAACACUAUAAAUUGCUGCAGUGUCUUCCCACAUGAUUGUUUUUAUGAUUUUUUCUCAAAAUUAUCUUUGUCGAUUUUUUUAAUAUUGAGUUGGAUAAAAAUUAUAAUUAUAAUAAUAAUAAAAAUAAAUCAUAUGAGGAAAGCGUUAUUGUUUUCCUCAUAAAACACUGUAGAUUGCUAUAGUAUUUAUCUAAAUGGUUUUUUUUACGAUUCUUUCUAAAAUUAUAUUUGUCAAUUGUAUUGGGAAAAACACUGUAGUUUUCCUCAUAAAACAUUGUCAGUUGCUACAACAUUUUUUUUCAUAGGUUUUUUUCAUUCCAAAAUUAUAUUUGUCGAUUUGUUUUAUAUUAAGUUAGUAGAGAAUUUAGCUUUAUAAUUUGUUUUGCUUUUUAUUAACAUAAAAGCUAAAUCAUUUGGUGAAAGUACUGUAUCUUUCCUUACAAAACACUAUGGGUUGCUGCAAAUCAUUUUGUUCGGUCUCUAAGUUUUUUUAUCACCAACACAAUUUUUUUUUCAUCAUUAAAUAUUGACUCCAUCAUACCUUUAAUUUUUAUUAUUUAUCUAGCGCUGAUUCAUAAUUAUAACACUAUCAAGUACAUUUGUUUUAUAAGCUCGCAGCAGCGUGCGAACAUGCCAUCUCGUAUGAAUAUAUUUCACUCAUUCACACACACCCAUAUAUAUACCUUACACACGUAUAAACACAUAAAUAUAUAGACUAACUAACUAACUAUAUAUAUAUAUAUAUAUAUAUAUAUUCUGAUGGAUUGGCCAAUAAUCUUUGCUAAAAGGAUAUAUCAUAAAUUUAAUAUAUAUUUAAAAUUAGGCAAUAUUUGUUUGUGAAACUCAUCAUAUAAACAAACAAAAUCUUGAACUCAGCCCGGUUAUCCAUGUAAAUCAAAAAAAAAAUCUUGAACUCACACACGAUUUAUAUGAUAUGUAGUAUAUAUUCAGUAUCAUAAUGUAAAUAUAUUUUUCUUUAAAAUACAUUAAAAUAUUUUUUUAAUCAAUAAAUCAAAAUUAAAAAAAAAAAUCUCUUAAAAAACACCACUUUAAUUUUUUAAACUAAAUUCACUCACACACAAUCACAGAUACAACAUCUGCGCAGCAACAUCAUCAUCAGUCACGGAAUCAAAUCAAUCAAUACCACCGCUGCAUUUUUUUUUAAUGUGAAAAUAACAUCUCUCUUCAUGUGGGUUUUAGAAUCCGAGUUUAGAUUGCAUGGAUAAACGCAGCCAUGGUCCCCUCGUCAAAUUACAGACCGCUGGUUGAGCAAAGAAACUUUCUUAGAUACCCUGAAUCUAUCAUUGUCUCCAUUUAUUGUCUUACUUCUCCUCAGUGCUAAUGCUCCGGGCACCACGAAUAUAUAUAUAUAUAUAUAUAAACAAACACACACACACACACACACAAAAGACAUACUUCUGCAGCUUAUUUAAUGUGCGUAGUUUGCUUCUUUCUUGCCUUCAUGGUCAUAGAUCUCCUGCAUCAGAUUCUCGAUAAUGUAACUCCUGCCAGCACUGUAUCCCUUUUGCGGCUGUUAACAUCAAGAAGACAUGGCCCCUCUCCAUUAUUGGAGUUGCCGGCCGGCCCUUGUCAGCCGGAGCUAUGAACUUCUGAUAUUUUGGGAUUACUUGUUGCAUCUUCGAAAAUGGAUUGCAUGUGUGAAACCCAAUGGAAAGAAACUCAAAAUCCACAUAUAAAUUGAUCUGAAAACAAUUUAACUUAAUUUACAAGUUAAUUUAGUGACCCACUCACUGUUUGCAAUAUAAUACUGUUCAUUGUUUAAAAACCCUAAUCCAUGGAGCCAUGACUUUCGAGCAAGGGGCACUCAACCUCCUGCAAUCUGGCGAGGCCCUCUGCAUGUACUGUGUACUAUGCCUUAGCGUAUGGCUCUCAGAUUCAUAAUUACAAUCCUUUAUGGUGUUAGGUUCGUGUCUUGUCAUCUCUCUCGAUUGCUUGCGGAUUUCACACACUGUGGGACUCGAAUCCACACGUCUAAAAUUUAGCAUUUUAUCUAGUGUCUGGAAGGUAGUAAUUUUUUUUCACUGUUCUGCUGUCCUCGCUACACCGACCUGAAAAAUUAAAUAAAUCUAGUUUAUGAAGUUGUUUUAUUAUAAAUUAUAAAUAAAAAAUAUUUGAUUUUAAUAAAAUAAAUUAAUAUAUAUAUAUAUAUAUAUAUAUAUAAAUAAAAGAAGAUAUUAACACUAACUAAAAAAUGAGUUAUUAAAUAAAAAUAAAUAUACAUAUUAAAAUCACAUCUUGAACAAGAGAAGAAGCACCCCUCACAAGCUAUGGAAUCUACCAAUGGAUCAAUACCACUCACACCUCUCUAGAGGUAACCAGAGAUAUACAGAAAUGGAAGCUCUCAACUUUAUUCAAUAACUCUUAGCCUGAAUUAAAUAAGAAUACCAGGAACAACUUCCAAUUUAAGGUUAAAUGAAAAUGCAGAAGUCUAGAUAACAUUUAGAUAAACUAAAUGAAAGAAUUGAAUUUUUAAAUGAAACUUUUGACUUAACUGUAGAAGAUAGCAACUGUAAAGUUGGUUCCUUACUUCAAGAGUUCUUGAUUUAGGGAUUUUAUGAGAUUGUGAUAUCAAUGAUAGUUUAAAGUGUUUUUUAUUUUGAAAUAUAUUUAAAUAAAAAAAAUUUAUUUUUGAUAUUAGUAUGUUGAAACGAUAUAAAAACAUAAGAAAAAUUAUUUUAAACAAAAAUAAAAUUUUAAAAUUUUUAGAAACGCGGUUUGCACAACAUUCUCAACACAUACCCUCAAUGGUCAUGCAUCAAACAUCAUGUUGGACCUGUUCAAUUAUUUUUAUUUAAUUAUAUAAUAAUAUAUUUUAAAAAAACACAAUAAUAUCAACUAUAUUUUUUUAUUAAUAGACUCGGUUAGGUCAACUUGGUAAUUUAUAAAUUUCACAUGUAGAUUUGUUCAAGUUUUAAAGUAAACUAGAUAAGAGUUAAUCUAGUGUGGGUCGUACUAACAUGAUAAGUACACUUCAACUCAAUCGACCUAGCUAAAACUUAGUUUGCUUUGAAAAAAAUUUAAAAAUGAUGUUGAUUUUAUUUUUUUUAUGUAAAAAAUAUUAGAACAACGAUAUUUUAAAUAAACCCGAGUCAAAUUAGCCUAACUCACCCAAACUAUGACCCAGGUCACGGUUAUAAUUGAGUUUAACAACUUUGCUUUUUAAAUUUUGUUUUUUAUUUAAUAAAAUAAUAAUAAUAAAAAGAUAUUGUCGAGAAGAUAUCGUAUAAAAUUAUUGAGAAAAAAUAUAUUUAUUCAACUAAAACUUAUCUCAUUGUUAAUGCAUAUCUCCAUUAUUUCAAUGAAAGCAUGCAUUUUUUUUAACUGCAAGCACUUUUUUAAAAUUAAAACCUAUUACGAUUUCAGAAACAACUUUUAAAACACAUUUAAAUAAUAUCUUGGUAUUCUGUAUAUGAUUGAUGGAAAAAAUUGAUAAUUAUGGUAAAAUAAUGAAAAAAAAAAAUUAAAGAGGAUAAUUAUUUUAUGAAAUAUUCACAGGCAAUUGUUUUCUUAUUUUUUGCAUAUUAGGUAUAUAAUAGUUAAAACUGAAAUGUUAACAUUCCCAUAAAAAAAUAUAAUAUUAUUUAAGAUGCAUGAUAAAAUUAAAUAAUCAUUUACAUAUUACGUCAAUCCUUUUCUAGAUAAACUUUUUACUUAUUUAUUUAUUUUUAUGAUUUUUUUUAUUGUGAAGACGCUUGAUAUAUUUAUUUUUUUAUCUAAUAAAUGAUGGACCUAAUCCUUAUAAAUAAAUAUAGAUAACUAACCACUGCAAUCAUCAAAUAUUUGCAAUUUUAUUUUAAUUAAUUCUUACACGUGCUGAUUUCAUGUACCAUUGACAACCAGCCCUUGCGAGCAUUUAAACAUCGAUCGGAUAAUAUAUCAUUCAUGUCAGAGAUCUCGAGUUUAUCAAAAAAAGGUUAUUAAAAUCAUUUUUUUAAAACUAGAAUUUCAUAUAAUAAUGCUAAUAAUUAAUGAUUUCUCUAACAGCUAUUGUAAUCAAUUAAUUUUAUUAUUUUUUUUAGAUGUCUCUAUUCGAUAUACAGGACUUCUGGACCAGAGAAUGCUAGAUAAAUUAUCGUAUUUAAUUCUAUCCUAAAUUCUAAUUUUAUUCAAGUUAUUGUUCGUUCACUUGUUUCCCAGUUCUAUUUAUGAAUUUGGUUUAGAUUUUGGAAUUAAUUUCACCACAUUUUUCUUUCUUUUGGGCCUUUAAGACCUAAAAUUGGCAAGGUGAGAUUUGGUUCAUAGUUUAAUUCAUUUAGUUUUUUUUUUAUACUUGUUUAUUUUUAUAUUUUAAAAAUAUUAAAAAAAUUAAUUUUUUUUAUUUCAAAUUAAUAUUUUUUUAAUGUUCUUGUAUCAUUUUGAUAUACUGAUAUAAAAAAUACUUUUUAAAAUAAAAAUAUUAAUUUAAUAUAUUUCUAAAUAAAAAAUACUUUAAAAAAUAAUUACAAUCAUACUCUGAAAAACAAAAUCUAUAUCUUUUAAUUAUAUCCUUUGAGUUUUCACGUGAUCCAACUUAAUUAAAGGAAAGUUUGAAUGAACAAAGACAUCCUGCUUGUAAACAGCAACAAUAAAUCUUCAAAUAUGGCAACCUCAAAGUAGUUGGCAAAUAUAUAAAAAAGAAAAUAUAAAAUUUAUAUAACUAUUCAUUUAAAAUUGGAUAUAGUUAAUUUCACAUAUAAGAUCUGCAUUUGGAAAAUUUGUAACAACAUAGGUAAAUGCAAACUGUGAAAUGCAAAAAAAAAAAAAAACAAUUAAGCUGCAAUUAAAAGAAAGCAAAAAUAGAGAAGGAAAUUAUAUAUAUAAAAAAUUUUAAAACAUUUGAGGUGGAGAGAACACCGUUUAUGUGAAUAAUAAACCAACUCAACUUUUUUUUUUUUCACUUGAGUUUUUUUUAAUUGAGUUCUUUUGCUUUUCAUUUAACAAACCUUAAUCUUAUUUUUUUCAUCUAUGUUUUUUUUUUUAUUGAAUCUUUUUACUUUUUAUUUAACAACUGUAAUGUAUUUUUAUAAAAUUAAUACCCGACAAAUCAUGAAAUAAUAUUUUAAAUCAUGGACAGUCAAGGUAUUAUGAGAUAAAAUAUAAAAUAAAAACAAAUAAUAAAAAUACAACAGAGGAAAAAUAUCAACGAUUCACUAUUGUCAUUCAAAAAUCCCUUUUCAAACAUCACCACACUCUUUAUUUUUAUGGGUUUAAGAUAAUAAUGCAAAAUAUUUUUUAUUAUUAUUAUAUUAAAAUAUAAUGAUAUAUUAAAAUACUAUAAUACCAAGUAAUGGAGCUUCCAAGUAAUCCAAAAAUCAAAAAUCGCUGUUCACCGUUGAUCGUUGACUACCUUACAUUCACAUGGCCAUGAUACACCGCCCAUAUUUUAUUUGUCAUAUACCUUCACAUGCGGUGACGGUUGUAAGAAAACAAAACUUCCAUACCCCAAUAAUGAGAAACAUGUUAUGCGCCGCUCGUUCAAAAUUUCAGAGCAAAAAUUAUAAUAGUAUCUCCAAUGCAAAAUGUUGUUUAUAUUUGUAAUGGUUCUAUUUUAUUGGUUUUGGCUCCUUGAAAAGAUAUGUAGAAAUAAUACUUGUGGAAGAAAAAAGUUAUUUUAACAUUUUGUUUGGCUUUUCCCUUGAAGUGUGCAAAACAAGUAAAGAAAAGCUAAAAUAUUAGUUUUUUAUUUUUGACUCUUCAUUUAGCUUUUCCAUUGAAGAUGCUCUAAGACACGGAUAAAAAAAGAAAAAAAAAAAUAGCUAUAAAUCAAUCCUCAAUCUUUGAAUUAUGAGCUUGCAAAGUUAUGCAAUUAGCUAGAAUAUCAACACUAUAUGGUCAUGUAUCAAAGCGUAUUUACUUCCCUCCACGGAAGGAAAAGAGAGAAUACGAGCUUAUGAGAGAAUCUUUUUUUUUUUUUAUUAAUCUUGCAGUUAAUUUAAAUCUUAAUCAAUUUGAUCAAGAGAUAAUUGAUUUUUGGUUUGAUUAAGACUCUUAUAGGGGAAAUAAAAAUCAUGUAUUUAACAUUAAGAGAUGAGUUCAUUAAGUUUAACUUUAAUACAGGAUUUGAGAGUUUUACACCUGUUAUAUGUAACUAAUAAUUUGAAAGUGUUCAAGAGAUUACUUAUUUUUAUUUUUAUGUUUUAAAAAUAUUUUUAAAAAAUAAUAUUUUUUAUUUUUUAUUUAUUUUUUAAUUUUUAUAUAUAUAUUUUAAAUCGUAUUGAUAUAUUUAUAUUAAAAAUAAUUUUAAAAAAAUAAAAUAAUAUAUUAUUUUAAUAUUUUUUUAAAUAAAAAAUAUUUUAAAACAUAUUCACUCUUGCAGUACCAAAUAAGCUAUAAAUAUUACAAGAUGACAGUUUCGACAUCAUUUUAAACCAUAAAUAUUAAUUUAAUAUAUUUUUAAAAUAAAAAUUACUUUACAAAAAUAACCUUUUACCACAGACAUACAAACACCGGAAUGAAACUGGUCCCAGCUGUCCAAAGUAUCUUAUUGCUAGAUUAGAUUGCAUUGACCAUACUACACCUUCGCAGGGGAUUUUUAUUACACACAUUCACACUCCUUUUAACUGCCUCCAAGUUUUCCCCUUGUUUGUCUUUGUCCUCUCUUGUCCAAAACCAUUUCACUUGAUACCAUGUUCUUCUAGCUAGCGGUGGUUCCAUCGGAAAGCCAAAGCCCACCAACGAUCAAUUCUUGAACCAAUCCCACCAAUAUGUGAAUCUUUCCAUCACUUCUUGAAUUUAUCUAUAAUGGGUUGUUGUGUUAGCACCACCAAUGAACCUUCAAAGCUGAAAGAACAGCAACAUUCUCAAGUAGGAUCUGAAUCUUUGAAGCAAACCAAGUCACCGCCUCCUUCUCUUUACCAAGAAGAAACUGUAAAAGAAGUCCUCUCUGAAAUUCCCAAGCCACCAACGAAUCCCAUCAAGAAUCCACACCAGGAAACUGACCUGCAACAACAAGAAGUCCCCAAGAAGGAAAGAAUCCACAUUGACCCGGCAUUUCUCGAUGAGAUCAAGAUUCAAGAGAACGAGAACGAGAACGAGAUCAAGAUUCAAGAGAACAAGUUCAAGAAAGAAGAAGUUGAUCAUCAAGUUCAGAUCUUUGAACAAGAUGAAUCUGAAGUUUGCAGCUUGAGCUAUAGUGAAAGCAUCUCAACAACAACAACGAACAACAAUGACAGAAGAGACUAUUAUGAUGAUGAGAAUGAGGUUAAGCAAAGAGUGUCUAGAUCUCCAUUGCCACCAAGAAACCGGGUUUCAGGUGAAUUGGGCCCGAGAAAAGACCGGGUCGUGGGCAGGUCACCCACCCGGAGAACAACAGAACAGUCGCCAAGCAAGAGAAAUGGCGCAAUGAAAGGAGGGCCAGUGAGGUUGGUUCAGGGCCGGGAAACGGGUUCCGGCCAAGUGGGAAUUAGGAGGGGUUUGAGACCCGACCCGAACAGGAGAGACCCGGGUGAAGGGUCAGCGAGAAGGUCCAGGUCACCGGCUACAAAUAGAUCUUUAAUGGGUCGGAGCCCGUCCACUAGGAGGACAAACCGGUCCCCAGGCCGGGUCAGGAAGGAUCCCAAUGAGGGUGGCGGUGGUAGCGGUAACAAGGAUAAUGUCAUGGAGGCCAAGUGGCCAAGCACUAAUAAUAGUGAUGAUAAUGGGACUCAAAACGAGUCACUAGAAAACCCUCUAGUGUCACUUGAGUGCUUCAUCUUUCUUUAAACGGGGGAUAUUCCGGUCGAAUAUUCCAGCCGGGGCUAGUGUUUACUGAUUACUUGGCUCACUUUUGUGACCAUUUUUUUAUUUCUUUCUGGUUUUCUUCUGUUUUCAGUGAAUUAUAGUAAUGGUCAACAUGGAGAUGUGGACAAAGGAGGAGAUAUUGUGUUGUGGCCACUCAGAUAUGCAAAGCCAUUGAAUUGACCAUUGAUUCCCUUUCUUGCCAUGUUUGCCAAGUUCUCUGUCCUUAUGAUUAGUCUAUUCGCUUGCCUACAAUGCAAAAGAUUUGCCUACCGAAGCAUCUGAUUUCUUCUCUUAUAAUGUAGAAAAGACUGAAAAGAUUUAAUGAAAUUACUUUGCUUGUGAAUUGUCAAAACUAGAUUGCUUUCUGCUUCCUGAGCUCACCUGUGUUUUUACUUUUUAGAACACUCUUGGGCCCUCUCUCCCUUUACAUGAGUAACUGAACUUUCCGAGAAAAACACUUCACAUUUCUUAUAUUCUUGAAUAUUUAGCUUGUUAAACAAGUGCUGCACUGAUUGUUUUCUAAUUAGAAAAGUGAUAAAAUAAUAUACUUUUAUUUUUAAAUUUUUUUUUUACAUUAUCAUAUCAAAUUAAUUUUAAAAUAUACAAAAUAAUUUAAAAUAAAUAAAAAUUUAUUUUUUUCAAAAACAUUUUUAAACCGAGAAAAGAAAACAAAAGGUGGUGGUAUUAUGAGUUUGUUAUGUAAUAAUUGUUUUUUUAAAGUAAUAUUUAUUUGAAAAUAUAUCUAAAUAAUUUUUUUUAUUUUUUUUUAAAUAUUACUUAGAAAUACAUCUGAAUAAUAAUUUUGUUAAAAUUUUUAAUAUUAUUACAUCAAAAUAAACAUAUAAAAAACUAUAUUUUUUUUAAAUAAAGUUUUUGAAAACAGACAUUCAACUACAUUUUCUUGGCAGUUAAAAUCAAUUAAAAAAAAAGAUUUUCAUCUCGAUUCCAAACCAUACUCGAAUUUCACUAGCAAAGAAGCUCUUGAAGUAAUUUAUCAAACUACAUAGUUUCAUUUACUGUGAAAAUGGGUUUUCCAUCUCGUUCGUCGAGCGAGCCAGAAGUAGUAGUUUCUUUUUUCUUGGCAGAAAACAUGGUCGAGUCGAGUCCCAUGAGAACCUCCGUUGGUUUGCAAGAGGGGUGGAGCGGCGCCAUGAAUGCUUUUGUCUCGCAGUAUUUGUGUGCUCGUACAAGUUACGAGCAACAUCAAUAACUACCAACGUAGCUUGAGAUUAUAAACUUGGAUUCAAUUAUGAAUCUGCCUCUUAUUCAAAUUUAAAAAUAAGACAGUUCAUUUACCAAGAUAAUGUUAUAUUUUUAAAGUGUUUUUUGUUUAUAAAUAUAUUAAAAUAAUAUAUAUAUUUUUAAUUUAUUUCUAACAUCAAUGCAUUAAAACAAUUCAAAAACAUAUUUAUUUUUAAAAAAAUUAAUCUAAUAGCAUCUUAUCAUAAAUAAUUUUGGAACACUCAUAGAACUCAACCAAAUGGCAUAUGAUCAAUUAUUCAAGAAGCUAAUUAUCUAGGGGUUUUGUGUGAUUAUGGUGCGACUUGUUUUUUGAAUUGUUUUUUAAAAUAAUUUUUUACUUGAAAAUAGAUAAAUAUAUAUAUUUUUUAAUUAUUGAUAUCAUCACAUUAAAAUCAAUAAAAAAAUACUAAAAAAACAUGAAUCAAAUAUUUUUUUAAAACAAAAAGCAUUUUUUAAAAAUACUUAAAAACAAGAAUAAAAGCGGCGACAAACACCCACUUAAUAUUAUAAUUCAAAGAAUGCAAUAAGUUUCACAAAAAGAGGGAGAUUUGCACUGAUUUAAAUUUUGUACAUAUAUACAUGCGUCCUGCAUUUUCAUUAAAUACGACGUAACUUUUUCUUUCGAGUGGAAGCGUGGGGGGGUGGGAAAGAAACAAGGCAGCCAUGAAAUAAAAUUGUCUUGCAUGAGAAAUUGAAAAUUUAAGGUGGGAAGGAGGAGGGGAACCCCACCUUUUUUUAUAGCCGUUUGAGGAUUGAGAGAAUACGGACAGCAUUACCAGUAGUGGUCCAAGUUUUUAAUAUUAUGCCGUUGAUGGCGUUUGGUGCUGCCUUUUGUCCAGAAACCAAGCAAUGGGCAAAUGUAUCUGUUAUUUUGGACUGUUCCUUUGGUUCUCUUUCAACUUUUAAAGGUUUUUUUUCUUAAUUUAUUAUUAUUGUUGUUGUGGUGGUGGUUUAUUUUUCUUUUAAAAAUAUUAAAAUAAUAUAUAUUUUUUAAUUUUUAUAAUUUAAUUUUAAUAUCAUUGCAUUAAAAAAAUUCAAAAAAAUUCAAAAACAAAAUAAAAAAACUAUACAUCCUGAAAUAUCACAUUUCACAUUAAAAAAAAUAUCCCUGAGCUCAAAGCUGAAUCUAACCUAUUUGGUAGUGUAAUUAUAUUUUUUUUUAAAAAUGUUUUUUGUGUUGUAAUACAUUAAAAUAAUAUAUUUUUUAUUUUUUUAAAAUUAUUUUUUAAAUUAACACAUUAAAACGAUAUAAAAUAUAUAAAAAAAAAUUAAAAUUUUAUAAAAUAUGGUUUCAUCACGUUAACGAACAGUAAAAUUAAAAUGAAAACAAGAAGAAAGGCUGGCUUUAUUAAACCUUGAAGUCACUGUGUGACUUUGAUGUAAAAGCCACUUUUGGCCUGUCUGUUGAAAGAGAGUGAGGUGGGGCAAAGCAAGUGACGGGUUAUUUCAAAUAAUUAAUUUAAAGGUGUUUCUAUUGAUUAUUUUUUAAAAGUAAUUUUUAUUUUAAAAUAUAUUAAAUUAAUAUAUAUAUAUAUAUAUAUUUUUUUUAAAAAAUAUAUUUUUAAUAUUAACACAUUACAAUGAUAUAAAAAUAUAAAAAUAUUAAUUUUUUAAAAAAUUAUUUUUUAAAAGCAUAAAAGGAAAUUGUGUGAAGGAUAAAAGGGAAAAAAGAUUAAACCUGAACUCUUUCAAUAAAUUACUCUUAUCCGAAUUUGUUAGUAGAAAAGAAGAUAAUAAAGAAUGUUUUUCCCUACUAUACCAUUGUUUUAAUAAUUAUUAUUUUUAUAUAUAAAUUAAUGUUUUUAAGAUUAUAAAAAUUAAUUAAUUGAGAUGAUAUUCUACCAAGAUACUAUUUAAACUUCAAAUUCAAAUGAUCAAAAUAUUAUUUAAUCGAGAUUUUUUAGGUAAAUUGUUGAAUCAAACUUUCGAGUAUCU
RNAcentral lists this long non-coding RNA (76400 nucleotides) under Populus tremula. Its description in RNAcentral is "long non-coding RNA (PTRE_LNC003418)". Lineage: Eukaryota; Viridiplantae; Streptophyta; Magnoliopsida; Malpighiales; Salicaceae. The record is from RNAcentral.